This 88235-nucleotide long non-coding RNA is filed under the name Lactuca sativa (garden lettuce). RNAcentral's name for it is "long non-coding RNA (LSAT_LNC007691)". The record is from RNAcentral. Lineage: Eukaryota; Viridiplantae; Streptophyta; Magnoliopsida; Asterales; Asteraceae.
GAGGUAGAUUCCAUUUGGUAUACAGAGUAUACUGUUUGGAAAGCCCACUUUAAACACCUCACUAAAUCUAGCAUUGUCAUCAUCCCCGUAAGUAGAUUAAUCAGUAUAACGACUUGGAAUCACUGAUAAAUCUUGUUUGUAGGUUCAUAAUAACGAUAAUGAAUUUAAACAUAAGGUACACUUAAAGCGUAAUAGGUGUAGCUCAACUUAUAGGGUUUCUAGCGAAAACUUAGAACUCCAUGGUUAGAACUUCUUCCCUGAAUCUUUUUCUAAAAAGGUUCUUAUAGCGCUUUAGUGCUCACCUUACUCUACUAAAACUACAGAAAGAGAAGUCGAAUCACAAGGACCAAAAUGCUCGGGGAUAAGAAGAGAAAGACUCUUGAAUCAAGAGAAUGGUGCAAGAAAUAUGAGAGCCUAUAGCCUCAUGUUUAUAGUAAUUGAAUUUUCCAAAACUACCAUUUAUAGUUACUUAAAUGGCCUUAUAGUUAUUUAAACGACUAACCGCCCCUUUAUAAUACUAUUUUAAAUAUAUUUAACGAUAUUUGUACUAAACUAAUGUUGAAAGUAUUCAAUAUUAGUCUUAUAAUGAUUGCAUCGUUGAUACCUUUCUAAUGAUAUAUAUAUAUAUAUAUAUAUAUAUAUAUAUGUGUGNUAUAUAUAUAUAUAUAUAUAUAUAUAUAUAUAUGAUUUUUACUUUAUUUUAAUUCGUAAAUAUGUUAUUAUAAAUUAUAACUUGUUCAUACAAACUCCGUUUUUAACGUUCUAUAUGUCCACGCGUAACUAUAGACGAGAUCUACAACUUUCGUUUAGACUCCGUCGGCUAAUUAUGAUAUUAUAUUUAAAGUUAUAUUUUAACAGCCUUAGACUGUUAAAGUCCAUUAAGAAUUCAUAACUUUGUCAUCAAUCGUCCGUUUUCAACUGUCAUUUUAUCUUUGGAAUCCUAUUAACGAGAUCUUCAAUUCUCUUUUAGAUUGUUUCGGUUAAAGAUCAACCAAGCUAAAAUUCGAUUUCUAAGUUGUAUACCGCUAUGCUGAAUCUUAGAAAAAUCAUAAGUUCCUCUAACAAAGUCAGAUUCAGACAUUUCUUUAUAUGCACUCUCUCAGUUUGAUGAUUACUACGAUUUUCAUUUAAAUCACUAACGCUAAAAAGUAUUUUAUCAAAACCUUACGUUUUACUUUAUAACUUCUUCGUUAUAAGUCGGAUUUUAGUGUUCUUUAUGUGUACGGAAUCCUAGUGACAUACACUAUAACUUUGGUUAAGAUUAUUUAUUCUAAAUAAUCUUCUAUCAAAAAAUCAUUUUUAACGCUUAUUAUCUCUAAAUUGAGUAGCCUGGAUCUACGAGCCUUACAAUACACAAUAUACACAUCCCUAAAAAGCUCCUUAGUAGCCUCGAUACUCUUCCUGAAUCUCAUAUGGAUCAUGUGCUUCCAGUAGUACGGGCCUAUAGUUGUAGGUUUCCAUUUCUACGAUUGGAUUGGUGUGGAAGGAUAAUAUCAAGAAGAUAAUCAUAUGAACAAUGAUGAACAAGAAUAUAUGAGUAAAAUGGUAAUGGAUUGAUAGAGAGAAUCAACAUAUUACAUGAAGAACACUCAUGGAUGGGGAGAGACCAGACCCCAUCCAGAAUCUCUCUAGUCUAAAGUCUACAUAAGUGCACUCAUAAUAAAAUGAUCACUCACCUCCACUUUAUAUAUUAGUGGAGAGAAUAUGCUUUCAUACAGUAGAAUAUUCUAACCUAAUAAAUCACUCAUGACUGUAGAGCAUUUUCAUGCUCCAACAAUCUCCUCUAAAUGCUCAGAAAUGGUGAGGGUAAUGCAUUGAUAAAAAGGCAGAACAUUCGACAAGCAUGCUUUGGUGUUGAAGUGUCUCGGAAAAGUUGAAGCUGUCAUGAUCUCAGAAUCUAGCAAUGGGAUCUGUAGCAUCAAAGAGCAUACCGAGAAACCCAAUCUCUGAAUAAGAAUGUAAAAUCAUAAUCUUUGAAAUUGGUCAGUACUUAAAAAUCGAUCAUGUUCAUAGUCUCCCCCUUGACUGUUGAAUCGAAGAGCAAAAUGUCGAGUCACACAACGUCUUCAGUAUUCCGAACUCGAGUGAUAAUGCACCAAAAAAUCUUUGAAGAAUAACCUGCUGAAAAUGUGAAGCAUCCAAAAGUAAAGUCUGAAUGAUAAAUAAUAUGAAUCCGAAGACAUGGUCUAGCAAUGCCAAAAAUUUGAUUGGAAUAUCAAAAAUAAGUAUCACGUCGCAUCGCCAAAAUACUCUUCGUUUUCAAAAUAUCGUAAAUCCAAACUCGAACAAUCAUAAGAUCUAAUCUGGAUGCUAACACAAAUGAAACAUCCCAAAAUGUAAAGUCUGAAGAUAAAUAGUCAUAAUCCGAAGAACAUCUAGUAACGUCAAAAACUUGAUCUGUAAAAGAUCAAAAAUCAGUGUCAAAUCACAAUUCCAAAUCGAUCGCCGUCUUCAAAUGUCUAUAACUUCAAAACUCGAAUAAUAAACUUAUAAUGGAUGCUCAUGAUUCUCCCUUAUUUUUGAUCGAUUAUAUAUUAAAGAUAAAAAGUUAUCAUGAAACCAGACAAAAGAAUACGUCGGAUAUGACGGAGCAAACACUGUAGAAUAUAUAUGAUAAACCCCUUGAUGUGAGCAUCUACCCGUAAAAACGAUGAUAUUAUUUUUCGGGUCGACAUGCUAGUCUUUUUUUUAAUAUAUUCUAUUACAUCGGUCAAUAUUAAAGAAUGGGUUAAGAAUUUUAUAAUGACAUUCAUGGUCUUCGCAAUUAUAAUCACAUUUUAUUUGUAUUGGAAAUGCUUGCAAUUUCAAUAUCUUUGUCGACGUCGGCUUUGAUACUGUGGUUUUCUGAAGCUGAAAACGGAAAAUCUAGAAAGAAAAUGAGUAUUUUAGUUUGAGUUUGUGCGAAAAAUAAUGAAACUUCAAUUUAUUUUGCUUGCAAAAUUUUGAAAUAUUAAUUCGCAAUCCUAAUUUGAAAUCAAAAAGAUAAAAUAAUGAUCACAAAGGUUAUUUCACAGUGGGUUGUCAAUUUCGCUAUCUUGGACAAUUUUGACAUGUUUGACCCGCUUUGUUUUAUUAAAUUAUUUAAAUUAAAUAUUAAAUAUUAUUCACUUGAACGGUUGGAAAUGAAGUUAACAAUCGUAAUAAUUUGCUAUACCUAAAUUUAAAUGCAUUUAUUAUCUCAACAUCAACGAGAAUUAGUUUCCACGUGUUUCUCUUCAAUUAAAAAGUAAACUAAUUUGAAUCUUAACAUCAGUCGCAUAAAUAAGUUUGUAUGUGGCAGGUCAUACUUGGUGCUACAAUCGUUGUCAAUCAUUCAAUGCAAGGCCACACACCAUCAUGUCGAUUACAUGUUGGUUAUUAUUAUUUGGGUCGUAAUUGAUUUGGUUACAAAUUCCAAACACCUUUUAAUAGAAUUAGUAAAGAAAUGGAUUAAAAAUUUAAUGAGAAGCGUGCUAUAAUGUUGAUUGCGGAUGAUAUUAGUAUGUUUAAUUUUAAUUGGAUUAAGAAUAUGUCUAAAUUUAAUGAUCUUAAUUGACAUAUGUGAUGUAAUUCUCCUUUAUCUUGUUUAUCAUUUACUUUGUCUUGAACGUAUCACUUAAACUUUUGUUUUUUUGUUAAGGGAAAAUGAUUUAGGAGGCUAACUAGCUCUUAUCCGUAUUCACAUAUUAGAAACUUCUUCUUUUUUGUACAUAAUAAAGCAACUAACUUAUUUUAAUUGUUUAAAUUACACCAAUAUUACCAGCUAAUACCUGUUUUAACCGGUAACUCAAAGAGAAAAUGACUUAGGAGGGUAACUACCUCUUAUCCGUGUUCAUAUAUUGGCAACUUCUUAUUUUUUGUACAUAAGAAAACAACUAACUUGUUUUAACUGUGUAAGAUCCCAAAAAUCAUGACCAAAAAUUUCGUUUUUAAUUUAAUACUAAAAUCAUAAUUGGCAAACAUUUAAUUUAAUACUCCGUCAUCAGGCCCCGCCCGGCAUCAGGCCCCGUUUGGCAUCGAGCCCCGCUCGGUAUACAUAUCUAUCUCUCUUAGGUCCCGCCUGUCUCCGGGCCCCGCCCGCUAAACACAUACAAUCAUAUAACAUGCUAACACACAAAGAAACAUACGCUACUGUAUCCCUGUCCUAAGAAACAUUCUGCUAAUAAUGAGAUACGGGACGUCGUCCGUACUCAGCUAGUGAUGAGAUACGGGACCUCGCCCACACUUACCUCUUUACCAGGCAUAUACAAGUAUCACACAGACAAGAAGUAUAAUUUAACAUGCAAACAUUCCUCGGGCACCCGCUCGACAUCAGACCUUGGUUUGGAAUAACAUACUAGCAUACAAUGCCUAAGGCUAAUCCCCGGGUCUUCCUACUCAUAGACUACAUGGGCUGACAUUGUGGCCUUAGACUCUUUCACACAGUAGGGAGACUCACCUUGCACUGCUGAAGCCCUGGCUGGAACUAGCUAAGUACGGACGAAGUUUCGUAUCUCAUUAUUAGCAGAGUAUGUUUCUUAGGACAUGGAUACAUUAGAGUAUGUUUCUUUAUGUGUUAGCAUGUUAUAUGAUUGUAUGUGUUUAGCGGGCAGGGCCCGGAGACAGGCUGGGCCUAAGAGAGACAUAUAUGUAUACCGAGCAGGGCUCGAUGUCAGGCAGGGCCUGAUGUCGGGCGAGGCCCGAUGCCAAAGUAGUAAAUUAAUGGUUUGACAAUUAUGGUUUUAGUAUUAAACUAAAAACGAAAUUUUUGGUCAUGAUUUUUGGGAUGUUACACAGUUAAAACAAGUUAGUUGCUUUCUUAUGUACAAAAAAUAAGAAGUUGUCAACAUGUGAAUACGGAUUAGAGGUAGUUACCCUCCUAAGUUAUUUUCCCUUUGAGUUAGCGGUUAAAACAUGUAUUAGCCGGUAAUAUUCGUGUAAUUUAAACAGUUAAAACAAGUUACUUGCUUUAUUAUGUACAAAAAAAAAGUUGUCAAUAUGUGAACACGGAUAAGAGGUAGUUACUCUCCUAAGUCAUUUUCCCUUUCGUUAAUGAAAUGUUUGUUGUUAAAAAAAAAAAAAGUAGGUUAUUUCUUUUUAUCAGGGUUUUUUUUUUUUUUUUUUUUUUUUUUUUUUAUUUAAACGGUAAGAUUCAUAUCAUUUACAAGCAAGUGCAAAGCUAGAAAACACUAUAAAUGAAACAAAAACAAAAUACAAACCAAAGGUGCGUUUAAGUAAGUUAAAUGACACUAAAUUAAAUUAUUAUAUUUACAAGUAUGAUGGUCUAUUCUAACAUCCUUUUAAAUAUAAUUUAGGGAUACAUGUGGAAGUACUUGCUUGCUUUAUAAAUUUUAAACUCAUAAUUUAAUCUGAUUUAUUCGUGAAUGAUUGUACUAAAGGUGAUCGGCAAGUAAUUUUGCAUAUUGUCAUAGCUUAUUCUCAAGUUCAUGAUGAUAGGCAAAUAAUUUUAUAUUUAUUAGAUAAGUAUCAUAUCAUAUUACAGUUAAUUUCAUAUCCAACAUUCAUCCUCAUUUAUAAAACAAUUUUAUUUUUUAAUUCAUGGAUGGCAUUUACCAAGGAUCCCGACUUGAAUAAUGAUUUUUUUGCCUUAAUAUAUUUCUAACAGAUUUAUUGACAGGGUUCUCCCAUUCUUUUUGUUAAUGUUGCUUGUCUUCCUUAAACAAUAUUUUCAAGGUAUUACAAACUCAUUUUGUUUUUCCGCGUCGUGUAUUCAAUGUAAUAACAGUAUCAUAUUUUUCUUUUGUGUUAUUUUUCUACGGUAUCGAUCCAUUUAUAUUAUGUAUUGCCUAAUUUUAAUUGGUCAAUGUUGUUAUUCUUCAUAAUAUAUCUAUCAAGAUCUUGUUGUUGGAUGUUCAAAACAUGAUCAAAGACUUCACCUGAUGUCACAAAAUGCAAGAACAAUAGAACAUAUGCAUGUUUGUUAGAGAAAUUUUAUAUUAUUCUUAAAGAAUUUAUUGUGUUCUUUUAGGUAUUAUUCUUUAAGAAUGUAUUUUAUUCUUUCAAAAAUAUUAUAUUAUUCUUCAAGAAUGUUAGUUAUCUAAUUUGUAUUUAUUUUUUUUAUUUUUAAGGAAAGUAAUUUAUUUUUCAAAAAUAUAACUAUAAUAAUUGNUUCAAGAACAGGGAUGAUAACAAUACACUGAAUUGUAUCCUUAGAAAAACAUUCUGAAAUAGAAACUUAUUCUUCAAGAAUAACAAUAAUAAGAAUAGAAAAUAAAUUAUGGAAGCGUUUAAAAAAAUGUUAAUUUCUAUUUUAAAAUUUGGUAUUUAUUAAUUAGGUUGCCUUAGUUGCCUAAAUUACAGGUAGUUUUUAUUUUUCUCUCUUAAUAAAAUGUCAUAUUUACCCUUAUUAUUAAUUAAGGGUAAUUAUAUAGCAAUGUAAGUCCAUGUUAAUUAUAUUUAACUUACUAUUAAAUUAUUUCAUUCGUUUAAUCUAAUAAUUAGAAUUUGAUCAUUCAGUAAUGUAACAAACCGUUAUUUCAAACUUAUGUAAUAGUGUAGGUCAAUUUGUACUUCUUUUUAAAUAAAUAAAGAGAAAUUUUGACAUUCUAUGUAUAUUUACAUAAUUGACCCUCAAAAAUAAAUUAUUAAAUAAUCUCAAUCGGGUUGAACCAAGUGAUAGAGAUUGUAACAAGGUUUCCAAAAAUAUAAAAAACACUAAAAUUCGAGUUAUAACGAAGAAGUUAUGACCAAUCGAAAAUCCGCGACAAAACCGUCAAAACACUGUUCAGUGUAAAAAUUGAAUUUUUGAUAAAAAAAAAAGGCUUUCUAUCCUUAACAAUCUAAAUGAAAGUUAUAGUUUAUGUUAAACUGAGAACUUUCAUAAAAAAACGCCAAAAUCUGAUUUCGUAUGAGGAAGUUAUGAUUUUUCUAAGUUUCAGUAUAGCAAUGUACAGCUAAAAACUCAAAAUAAAGAUCGAGUUGUCUUUAGCCGACACAACCUAAAUAAGAAUUGAAGGUCUCGUCAUUAAUAGUACAACGGUAAAAAAACAGACAAACACGGACGUCGUAUGAAGAAGUUACGAAUUUAUAACGGAUUCACGUCCCGGUCUGUUUAAAAUAAUAAUAUUAAAAAUAAAGUCAAAAUUAGCCGACAAAGUCUAAACGAAAUUCGUAGAGUAUAAUUUUACCUACGCAUGCAUAUAAAGAACGUCAAAAACGGAGUUCGUAUGCAAAAGUUAUGAAUUUUACAAAUUUUGGCAAACAAUAAAGAAAAAUAGCAAAAACCGGGAAUUUUUGCAUGAACAGUAAUGCCACGUCACCCCUCGCAUGCUAGGCCUCCACGUGUCGGCUGCUGGUUGGACCGAUGCCCCGCGUGUCACCUCCUGAUUCGACCAAGUCCAAGGUCCAGUAAGAACCGGACAACCUCGUAUGAGACACACCGGACCUCACCCUCGCACGCCCCUCGCACGCCCUCGCACCCGCUCCUUCGCACGUGUCUUCUUUCCAUUGGACCGAGAGUUAGACCAAUCCGAGCCAGCCAGCANNNNNNNNNNNNNNNNNNNNNNNNNNNNNNNNNNNNNNNNNNNNNNNNNNNNNNNNNNNNNNNNNNCACCCGCGCGCUUCGGGUCCGAACCUUCGGGCUAUAUAUAGCAUGCGAGGGCUUCCAAAAUUUUUCACUUUUUCACCCCAAAAAUCAUUCUCUUUCUCAUUCUCCACUCCCUUAUGCUCAUAUACAACCCCUAAAGCCCCGGUAUCAAGACUCGAGCCCGAAGUAAGCCGUGAAGCCUCGAAAUUCUCGAGAAUUCAUCCUCUCUCCUAUUAAAACUCUGCCCGAUUUAAGCCAUUUUUUUCGCCAAACAAACUAAUUUCCGGGAAACGAAACACCGCCUGUAUUACCACCUAUCAAGUGAGUUCAUACCCCCAUAUUUUCAUAAUUUCUAUUGUUUUAAGGGAGGGAAAUACAAGUAUAACACAACAACUUUGUGUUAUAAAUAAAUGAUUUCAAAUCACGAUAAAAUGAUUUUAAAGUAUCAAAAAUAAUCCAAAUAUUGAACAGUUUUAUAAACUUAUAUUUUUCCCAAAUAUACAUAUUUUUAUAUAUAAUUUAAUAUAAAUAAGAUUUAUUUCAUCAAUUUAAUUACCCUUUGUAACAUGUUGAGCAAAGGAUUACAUGCAAAAAUAGUUAUUUACCAAUUCAUAAAGUACAUAUAAAUUAUAAUAGGUAUAAUUUAUGAUACACAGAGCAAUAAUUCAUAUGAAUACACUGUUUUACAUGCAACAAGGGUUUUAAUUCAAAACAAAUCAAGGGUUUACACUUAUCAAAUACAUGUUCGGGAUACUAAUUCAAGAACAUACUAUCAAUCAUUUAUUUCAGAGUGAUUGGGUUUUCAUAACUAAUAUACAUAUAACGUUUAUAUGCUUUUUAUGAGACAUUCAAUUCAGGUUGUUUAAUUCAUUUUAGACAACCAAGGUAAAGCCCUGACAUUAUAACCAAAAUCUCUAGUCAGGGGAUCGAAACAAGUUGUGUGUAGAUCUAUAUCGGGAUUGACAACCCCGCACUCAGGCUGCUAGCUACAGUCAGGCAUACAUGCCAAUGAGUGGCAAUUGUUAUCAACAGUUUAAGCGCUCAUCAGGCGUUUGUUUCAGGCGUUGAUGUAUUAGUAUGGUUAUAAUAACUCAUUAAAAAGAUAUUAACAACACGUUAGUGUAUAAACAACUAAACGUAAGUACAUCUUCAAAGUACCAGUUUACAAAAUGCAAAGUACAAUAAUAUACUAUAGUUUUUAAUAACAGCUGGUGAAGCCAGGCACACUCUCAAAUACAAGUUUUACAAAUACAUUGGUUUACAAAUAGGACGGUUUUAUGGGAAUAAAACUACUUUUCACAUACCACAGAAAAUAUGGGAUUUUCUAGAAGUGUUUUCGUAUUCAAAAUACAAAGACACCCAUUCAAACAUAAAGACUUAUGUACUCACUCAACUUAUUGUUGAUACUCUCUUCUCAAAUUACUUGUAUCAUCAGGGAAAUAAUAACAGGUACUCCCCGAGCUUUUUGAGAAGAUGGAGCCAUUAGGAGUUUUAUCUUCUUCUUUUGUAUAACUAUUUUGGUUUCAAUAUACAAUGAUUGAACACAUGUAAAUAUUAUACUUUUAAAUCCAUAUAUCUUUAGCAGAAAUUAUUUUAUGGAAAAAAAAGAUAUAUUUGACAAACUAGUUGAAAAGUUUUCAUUUAGUUAAGAAACUUGAAACAUCUAAUAUGCUCAAGAGUCAUAUUAAAAUGAUAUUGUUAAAUAACAUAUGAUCCUAAAGGUCACAAUAACAACAACUUGAUACAAAUGAUUAUUUAUUAGAAAUUGAUUUUAAUAAAUAUUUCAUAAACUCUUGUAAUAAUUGGAAAAAUAUUUAUUUCAAGGGGAUUUUUAUUUUACAAUACAAGUAACAAAUUAUUUCAUAUGAUAUGCAUAUAAUAUGUCAUGCACAUCUUUUUGGACCGAAUAAUCAUUUUGUCUUUUAGCAAAAAGACAAAGUAUAUAUCUUAUAAACUCUGAGUUCAUAAAAUAUAAACUCUUGAUUUGUCUUUUCUUUUUGGAAACAUGAGAUGAAGAGAAAAGACAUUUGCUUUGGUAUAAUGCAAAUGAAUCAAACCUAGGAAGAUGUGUUCAUGACAUAAGAGACAAAGUUGUCUAAUGGUUAAUGACUCUUGGAUAAUAAUUCCAUUAUAAAUAAGAGGUGAGUGCUCUUAUUUUUCUUCACUCCAUUCUCCUUGGCCAAGAGCUCUUUCUUCUUCACCAUCUUCUCUCUAAAGUCUUGAACUUUGAAGAUUUUAUUGUUUGCAUUCUCUCUUUAAGUCAUAAUCUUGUUUUGGCUUAAAAUCUUAAGAGUUGUGUAACGCCCCGUUCUAAAAAGUAAUUAUUUAUGGAUUCCAGAGAUCAAGAGUAAGGGCGUUUUGGUCUUUAGGGGCAAUGGGGUUUCAUUCGAGAAGGUUUCGGACAGGGUAUGUUACUCGAAGCAUAGGGCUUCUCACCACCUUUCUGUGGACAUAAAGUUCGUCGGGAACGGAUCUAGAAUGAAGGAGUUGUGUUACUUUGAAGAUAUUGUCAACUAUGACCCUUAUGGAGAAAAUUGAAGAGAAAGGGGCAUACAAGCUUUUGGGACAUGCGUGGCUACGCCCAGCGUAGCGAGUAUUUGGAUCGUGGGAUGUAAGGCGUACGCCCAGCGUACGUGAAGGUACGCCCAGCGUACGCUAAAGUUCAUUAAACCCUGAUAUGGGUUAAGCCACUAUAUAUAUAACAUAAUGGCUUCAAGCCUAGCCCUCAUAUCAGCCUCCCUAACCUCAGAAGAAACCCUAGAAUGUUCCAACUUUCAUUUUUUGAGAUCAUGGCCUUGAAAAGCUCAUCUUGGUGGUUUUUAGCUUGGAAGAGAAAGGAAGAAGAUUUAGAAGGAGGAACCUUGGAAGCUAGAACUUGUAGAUCUAGGACAAGAGUUUCAUUUCGGACCUCUUCAAGGUAAAAAGCUUUGAGCUUGAUGAAUAAUCUCUUAGAUCUCUCUUGGUACAAUUUUAUGGACUUUUUGGUUCCAAGAGUGCAUCUUUAAGACUCUAUCACGUUUCUAAGUCUAGGGUUGCCACCCUUAGUAUCAUAUGAGUCCCUUAUGAAGUAAAGUUUCAACCUUUAGGGCUCAUUUGUGAUCAUGCAUGAGAUCUAGCCACCUUUAUGGAAGUAUGAUGUUAUAUUUCAAGUUUGGAAUCAUUUGGUGGGUUGCAAGCCACCAAGUAGCCGACUUUAUAACUUAAGACAUCUUAAUGGACUUGGAUCUGUGAUUAUAGCAUCUGGAUUGGAGUGUUAAGCACUUAAUAAGGAAAUCAAUUAGCAGAGCACUACGCUGAGCGUACGUGCAGGUACGCCCAACGUACCAUCAUCGAGCCUGUACGCUAAGCGUAAACUGAAUUACUCCCCGCGUAAUGCUGUCUGCUGGAUCAUGAGCUUUGUGUCGUGGUUUUGGGGCAUGUUUGGUUAAUUGGGCCUUAGUGGGCCCUCAGAAAUCAUAUUAUAUGGGUCAAGGAAUAUAAUUUGGGCUUAGGGUCAGGCCAUUAAGGGAUUGGGCUCAAUGUAGCAAAUUAGGUCAUUAGUGGGUCACUAGUGGGCUUGAGUGGCUUUCUAGUGUUGGACUUUUCAUGUUGUGGUUUUGGACCUUAGUCAUGGACCAAAUUGGGUUAAGGGUAAAAUGGUCAAUUUACCCUUAGAAGGAUAUUGUUUUGGAGCUAAGUGUUUGUGGCAUUGAUAGUUCGAGGCGCUAGAGGAGCAGUGGUGCGGGGAUUCUCAGAUAGUAGUCAGAAGGGUACCGACAGUGUUUCACCACUUUAAGGUGAGUCUUCUCACCAUACCCAUGGGUCUACGGCACCAAGGCCGGCCCAUUAUGUGUUUAUGAUAUAUGUGCAAUUACUUUGUGUCUUGAUAUGUAUUGUGAUCAUGUGUUUUGCAUGAAGACCCCAGGGGGAGCCCGUGGCCUUGGGUGUAAGACCAUGUGGGGUAGCCCAUGGCAGCCCAAGUAAAGACCAUGUGGGGUAGCCCAUGGCCUUAGGUGUAAGACCAUGUGGGGUAGCCCAUGGCAGUCCAAGUAAGACCAUGUGGGGUAGCCCAUGGCAUUGGAUGUAAGACCAUGUGGGGUAGCCCAUGGCAGUCCUAGGUAAAGUCCAUGUGGGGUAGCCCAUGGCAUUCUUGCUGGUCCUUUGCAUGCAUGGCCUAUGUGAUCUGUUAUUAUGAUAUGUGUAUGUGUGGUAUGCUCUGGGAAACUCAUUAAGCUUCGUGCUUACAGGUUUUGUUUAAUGUUUCAGGUAUCGUCGUUUUGGAAAGAAAGGGCUUGGAUUGAUUGCAGUGCACACACAUAUGAUUCCGCAAUGAAUGAUUUUGGGAUGAACUCUGAUAAAUGUUUUACUUAAUGAUGAUUUGAAAUGUUAGGAAUAAAUGAUAAUUAUUUUUAGGUUAUAUUAGAAAUGAAAUUUUUACCCUUGAUUUUUGGGUCGUUACAAGUUGUAACUAGCAUUACAUCAAGUUGGCACAUUGUUGAUGUCUCAAAGGUUCAUCCUCACUCCAUCAACUUCCAAGCCUCCCCUAGAGAACUCAAAGUGCUUCAAAGGUUGUUACCACUUCUUUCUUCUAUUGUUGUGUUUUAAAUCUUUCCUCUAGAUGCAAGAUGAUCCUUGGUGGGUGAUAAAAUGUAUAUAUUAUUUUAUAAAACUCAAGUCUUCCGUUUGCCAUUAUUUGUAGUUUUUGAAACUAUUUUUUUUUAAAUAAAACCCAACAAAACUAUAACUUAAAAUUUAGAUAAUAGCUAACAAACUAGCUAAUAGAAAUUAAAUAAAUGAAUUAUUGUCAACUUAAUAGUUAGAUAAUACUUGCAAACUAACUAAUAGAAAAUGAUUUUAAUAAUAUUAGUUCAUAGUCUAACUAAUAAACCAAAUGUCUUUUUGCCCAACGGUAUAAGGUGUUGUUAUUUCUCUUUAAAGUUGAGGGUUCAAGUCUCAUCGUCAACAUUGGUAGAAUCAGGGAGUAGUUUAGGAGUAAAUUAAAUUUUCUUUUAAAUAAAAAGAUAUUCUAACUGAUAAAUAUCAAAUAACAUAAAAACAAGUAUAAAAUGAUUUGUUUUUGUUUUUCUUGUUGUUGUUGUUGUUGUUGUUGUUAUUAUUAUUAUUAUUAUUAAAAGUUUGUUCCCUUAGUAACUGUACCUAACCAAGGUACUGUUUAUAGAGUUGGUUUGACUGACACAAGUUGGUUUAUUCCACCACCUCAAAUCGAAAACUUUAAUCUUUUUACCUCUGCCACUAGUGUGGCGUUUCACUGAUGUUCACCAAUUUUGUAACCCAAUCAUAGUAGCAUUGGUGUUGCCGUAUCUUAUUCAUUAACAUAAUCGACUCCCUUCUACCCUCAAUUCAUCAUCUUCCUCAAAACCACAUUUUGAGAUUCAUACACAUUACUAUCAUUGGCCCUAUAUAUAUUUUCGCCAGCGACUCCAACACCACCUCCCACCGAUUCUAGGUAAGGUUUUUCCUUUCUUGCUCUAAAAAUCGAUUGUCAAUUCAUAGAUUUUUUUAGCUCUGAAGCUUUGUUCUUCCUUUGGAUUUAUUUGGGGUUUUUGGUUAACUCAGUGAGGGUGACAAUCGUUAUGUAUUAUUAUAAUCUCGGUUUCAUCAAAAAUAUACUAUCAUUGUCCCCUAUAAAUCUUUUCGCUAGCGACCCCGUUAUGUAUUAUUAUAAUCCCGGUUUCAUAAAAAAUAUACUAUAAUUUUCCCCUAUAAUCCCGGUUUCAUCAAAAAUAUACUAUCAUCUAUUACUAUGAUAUGUGUAUGUGUGGUAUGCUCUGGGAAACUCACUAAGCUUUGUUCUUACAUGUUUUGUUUAAUCUUUCAGGUAUCAUCGUUUUGGAAACGAAGGGCUCGGAUUGAUCACAGUGCAUACACCUAUGAUUUCCGCAAUGAAUGAUUUUGGGAUGAACUCUGAUAAAUGUUUUACUUAAUGAUGAUUUGAAAUGUUUGGAAUAAAUGAUAAUUGUUUUUGGGUUAUAUUAGAAAUGAAAUUUUUACCCUUGAUUUUUGGGUCGUUACAAGUUGGUAUCAGAGCCUUGGUUUGAGGGAUUCAAACACACUUUUGGGUGUUUCUGAACUCAUACUGAGGAUUUAUAAAGCUUUCAAAAGAAAAUUGUUUUAAGUGAAGAAUUUCUAAGACAAGAAAGAGUGUGGUGCAUGCAAUCAGCCAAGCUCGAGUAAGUUUCCCAAGAAUACCCACAAUUGUUAUCUGUUAUGAUUUGAUUAUGACUCUGUGAGUCGCAUGUUAAUUAGGGCUAGGGGAGAUGCCUUUAUAUGUUGUGUGAGCUGGUAGACUUGCGUGCUAGUGCUGAGUAGUCAGCAAUAGGUUGGCCUGAUAUAUGAUGCUUGUAAUCAUGAGGAUAUUGGAUGUCAUGCUAGAAUUAGAAUGAUAAUUAGUAUUUUUAACUGUUAAUUGUAUGUUUUAAAAAUUGUAUACAGUUAGGACUCGUUUCCUGUUCUGUGUACAAUUUGCAUGCACAAAGGCAGCCGACAACAAGGAUGGAUAGAUGUGCACAACAUGGGUUGUAGUACGUAGGGCGGUUGUCUGAUGAUAGCUUCGCAGGUUGGAGACUACCCUAGGGGAAGCCUAGGAUGAGAUUAGUGACAGGUGUCACUUGCUUGCGGAUUGGAUGUGAGGAUAGACUGAUUUGUGUAGUGUAUGCUGGUUAGAUUUUCCAUUGUCUGAAUGCUACUUGCUUUGUGCUUUGUGGGACUCUUAGUAAUAUAAGCUAGAUAUUAAGUGAAUAUGCUAAGUCACAUGUGGCACAGGCUGGCUAAUCUCAAAGUGAUAGAUUUGACCCUAUUGCGCAACUCUUGUCUGAGUCUAACCGUUCUAGGGAUGAGCCUAUUACUCGAAGGAUUAUCUGAUCUCUGUUGCAUGUGGCUAUAUCCAUAAGGUAGCUAGUUGACAUUAUUGAGAAUCUUUCAGCAGCUGAGGACUGGGUGAGUGCGGGAACCUAAGAUAUGCUCCAACGAGUUUAGUGGGGCGAUUCGGUGAAAUUGGGAACCUAGGGGGAGCCAUGAGGUGCUACGGUAGAGAUUGUCUUGCUGUUUAGCAUACAUUUAGUGUACCGAUGGAGUAAGCGACUUAGAGGAUUCAAGAGGAUUGCUGAGGAAAGUAUGGAUAGGUGUGGAAGGUAGUAUUUGAUGGGUUUGAGCCAUAAGAACUUUCCUAUGUGCACAUGCAAACCCUAAUGCUUGGAUCUAGGUUUCUCUAAUUGAACAUGCAAUGUAUCCAAGACUUUCAUUCAUAGAUCUAGUAUAAACAAACAAUUCAUAACAUAGGAAAUCAGAUCUAGAAGAAUACCUUGAAUUACUUGCUUGAAACUUCUUAUUCUUGGAGCUUAGAGUCACAAUUGUCACUCCUCUAAUGGCUUACAAACACCUACUAGCAAGAAGAUGAUUUGAUAGAGGGAGAGAGGUGAGAAAUUGGCCCUAGGGUUUCCUCAAUCAUAGAGUGGCCAAUUUCCUCAACCCUAAGGGUCUAUUUAUACUAUGAGCUCCUAGGGUUUCACCCUAAACCCUAAUUGGAUAACUUAGCCUCAAAGCAAUCCAAAGAUCCUCCUAGAUAAUGGCUUUGACGAUUUUAAGAUAUCCCUAUCCUAAAAAUCAUCCCUUCCCAUAUCCAUAAGGAUUCAUAGCCCAAAACACAACUAUCACACAUUUGACAGUUUAUGCCCCUUUAUUUAAUUAAUCUCUUUAAGUCACCAAAUUAAUUCCUAAUUAAUUUAUGAAUUAUAUGAAUCAAAUAAUAUUAUUAUUCCUUUAACAUAUUAUUCUUAUAAUACAUUAAUAAUAAUAUCUCUUCUCUCUAUAUAAAUCACCCUAUUAGGUUGCUAUGGUGAAGGCAACCCAAAAGGACCAUGCACAACCGGGUCAAGUACUUACCAAUUAUAGUUACAACCUUAGACACUAAUCCAACAGUCUCCCACUUGGAUAAGUCUACUAACUAUAACUGCAAACACAAUCCGAUUAGCAAUAUCAUGUGCUUUAGAUAAGGGAUCGUACAGUCCUUUGUUUUGAUAUCGUGCAGCCAAUCUCAUGAAACAUUUUUCAUACUUAUUGUCUAGCAAUUAUUUUCUCGAUCUCAGAUUUAUUUGACAUAGAACUUAAUUGAACACAUCAAUUCACUCCUGACCGGGCCCGACACAUAAGUCAAAUCAAAUCAUCGGGUGGCUGUGAUAUCGCUAUUACCCUCUCAGGAUAAAAGUAACAGAUAAACUUCGACUUAUAUGCAUUUACUUAUUCACUAAUCAACUAUACACAACAAUGCGGUUUAUGUCAUCAAUUUACUGAUGCGGUUUCGCAUUAUCAAUGCACAACCAAUUAGUAAAUAAUAAACCAUAUAUCUAGGUUUUAAGACCAUAUGAUAUUAUCGUCUUGCGAUCACUUGUGGUACAUUCCAUAAAGUGAUUCCAGCAAGCGCAGGUUUAUUCCAAUGCUCAAAACUUGUUCAUAAGCACUCAUGAACGUUGUAGCAAACCUUUGCUAUGUCUAAUACCAUUUAGACAAUCUACACACCAAUUCAUGACAAUCUUUAUUCAUACAUACUUCCAACAUAUGAACGAUUGUGGACGGUUUGAAUAAUUCGAUUAUUCUUAAUAAACUCAAUUGUUUUGGAAGUCAAAACAUGCAAAGUGAAACUAUAGUUAAACAAUUAACAUAAGACAAAACUUUUAAAUAAUACUCCUUUAUUUAAUCAUCAAAUGUCAGUUACAUUUAUAUAUUAUAAGUUUCCAAACUAUCUAAUCUAAACUAAUAUCAUCCUUCAGCCCAAUGCUCCUAGCGUGCUGCAAGUGCUUAACCCUGCUCAGUCCCUUCGUAAGCGGAUCUGCUGGGUUAUCUUCUGAUGAUAUCCUCUUAACCACGAGGUGUCCUUCUUCUACUCGAUGUCUAAUAAAGUGAUAUUUUCUGUCGAUAUGCCGAGAUCUACCAUGAUCCCUCGGUUCCUUGGUCAAGGCAACCACUCCUUCAUUAUCACAGAAAAUUUCCAUAGGAUCCUUAUGGCAGGCACAACUCCAAGGUCACUAAUGAAAUUCCUCAACCAUAUCGCCUCCUUUGAUGCUUCGCUCGCUGCAAUGUACUCUGAUUCGCACGUUGAAUCAGCUACAAUUUCCUGCUUGGAACUUUUCCAAGUCACUGCUCCUCCAUUAAGGGUAAAGAUCCAGCCCGACUGCGAACGGUAGUUGUCUCUGUCGGUCUGGAAGCUGGCGUCACUAUACCCUCGCACCUUUAAGUCAUCACUCCCUCCGAGGACUAGAAACCAUUCCUUGGUCCUCCGAAGGUACUUAAGGAUAUUCUUAACCGCAAUCCAAUGAGCUCUGCCAGGGUUCCCUUGAUAUCUACUGACCAUGCUCAAAGCAAAGGCCACAUCAGGGCGAGUACAAGUCAUAGCAUACAUGAUUGAGCCAACUGCGGAAGCGUAAGGUACUCGGCUCAUCUCAGCUAUCUCGGCUUCGGUACUCGGACUUUGAGUCUUACUCAACUUGGCAUUACUUUGUAUCAGUAGUUCUCCCUUCUUUUAGUUUUCCAUACUAAAACGUUUUAGUACCUUAUCUAAGUAAGUAUUCUGACUAAGUCCUAUUAGUCUCUUACUUCUUUCUCUCACUAUCCUUAUUCCCAAAAUAUAGGAAGCCUCUUCGAGGUCCUUCAUAGCGAAACACUUCCCGAGCUAGGACUUAACUUCCUGCAGAGUCGGGAUGUCGUUUCCCAUGCAUAGUAUUUCAUCGACAUACAAAACGAGGAAGCUAACUAUACUCCCACUGGCUUUGACAUAUACCCAUGAUUCAUCUUCGCUUCGUACAAAUCCAAACUCUUUGACUUUCUCAUCAAAGCAAAGAUUCCAUCUGCGAGAUGCUUGCUUAAGUCCAUAAAUGGACUUCUCAAGCUUGCACACUCUAUUAGGAUGCUUGGCAUCGACAAAACCCUAUGGCUGAGCCAUGUAAACAUCCUCAGCCAACUUCCCGUUAAGGAAAGCAGUCUUGACGUCCAUCUGCCAUAUCUCAUAAUCAUGAAAUGCAGUAAUGGCUAGCAUCACCCUAAUAGACUUUAUUUUCGCAACUGGUGAGAAGGUCUCAUCAUAGUCAACUCUGGGAGUUUGAGUAAAGCCCUUCGCCACCAAUCACGCCUUAUACGUGUGUACAUUCCCAUCCACACCGGUCUUCUUCUUCAAGAUCCAUUUGCACCCAACCGUCUUACGUACGGACACAUUUUCAACCAAAUUUCAAAUUUGGCUGUCAUACAUGGACUGAAUCUCGCUGUCCAUUGCCUCUUUGCAUUUCGCAGACUUUGGGCCUGCCAUGGCUUCCUUAUAGCUAUUAGGUUUAUCUAGAUUUAUUAGUGUACCAUCACUAAUAUACGUGUCCCCUUGAGUAGUAAUAUGAAAACCAUAAAACUGGGUUGAACUCUAACUCUUUUGGAACGUCUAAGAGGUAAGGACUCGUCAAUUGGUUCAACCGGAGUUUCCUCCUCGGGUUGAGCGCCAACGGUAGAGGUUCCUUCAUCACUCGACUCUUGAAUCUCUUCAAGAUCGAUCUUCCUCCCAUUGUCUCCUUGGUUUAUGAGUUCUCAUUCUCGGAAAACCCCUCUUCUCGCAACGAAGACAACAUUGCCACUCGGUCUAUAGAAGAGAUAUCCAAAGGAUUUCUGCAGGUAGCCAAUGAAAAUACCUCACACACUACAAGGUUCGAGCUUGUCGUGAGUGUCUUGUCUUACGAAAACCUCACAACCCCAAACCUUGAUAUGUACCAAAGAGGGAGCUUUCCCUGUCCACAUCUCGUGAGGUGUUUUGGCAACCUUCUUUGUAGAGACUCGGUUAAGGAUAUGGGCAGUAGUCUUGAUAUGUGCAUAAUUGGUUCAUAUUAAGUAUACAUUAUUAUUCAUUUAUUAGCUAAAUUAUUGCAUAUUAUGGACAAAAGGUACUUAAUAUUGUUUUUCAGUCCAAAGAUGAAGCUUGGAAGCGAAAGGAAGCGGGAGAAACAGUUAGAAGAUCGAGGAUGAAAUAAAGAAGAAAAACACUAAAAAUGGCACUGACUCGGCGAGUCAGAUCGACUAUUCGGCGAGUCCAAUCGAAGAAUCGAGAAGAUAAUGACUCGGGAUCCCAGAGAGUUAUCACAAUACGGGGAAUAUGAGAGGGACUCGACGAGUCACCACCUGACUCGACGAGUCGAUUCGUAUAUAUAAAGAUAAUUCCUUAGAUCGAUAGAGGAGAGUUCUGGAACGAUUCAGGAGAGUUUAGCUACGAUUGAGAAGGUAGAAAAACCCUAGAAGACGACGAAAGAAGCUAGAAUUCAAUCCCGGAGAGUAAUUGAGGCAAAAUUUCAUCAUUCCACUUAUUCUUUUGUUUUAUCAUUAUGGUUAAGCAAUUUGACUUUGUUUGUUUGCUGUUAUUUACUUCAAUUAUGAGCUAAAACCUUUAGACUUCUGUUUGGGGAUACAAAGUUGACAAUAUGGUUUGAUUGAUUGGUAGGAUUAAUUCUAAUUUGGUGAAUUUUUGUUAUUUUAGCUUGCUAAAGAACCUUGUGUGUGAAUAAUAAUUAAUUUUCUGUUAAUAGGAAGAUAAUUGAUUAGCAUGAACAUCUAUUGAUUAUUAACCUCAUAUGCUAUGUGAUCACUAUGCUAUAUGUCUAGGAUUAAUGAAUAUGAAACUAGAAUUAAUAAGAAAAUUGAGUAAAUCCAUGUGCAAGCUUGUAAGAUGACCAUCAAACAAGAAGUUAAUUAAAAGAAUAAAUUAGUUAACUAUUGCAAGUCUAACUUAACCCGAAUAAUUAAUCUAGUGAAUUUAAUUAAAUUAGACAAUUGGCCACUGUUUAAGUUAGUUUAUUUGCUAAGGAUUAGGGUAGUGAAUACGAAUCUAAUCACUUGAAUCGGUAACCAACGAAAGAAUUAAUCCAUUGCACCAUUACCUUGAAAUCAACCAUAGAGUCAACCAAGUUGAACUAAACAGAAGUUCCUUUCCAAUUAUUGAAUCUAGUUAAGUCUUUAUUUUCUAGUUCUUAAAUUAGUAAUAGUUAGUAAGUUUCUAGUCUUGUAAAACUAGAGAAAACCCCUACUUAUUAAUUAACUUAGAUAAAAUUAGUUUUUAAUUUUAAUUUGUCGUUCCCUGUGAUCGAUACCCUGCUUAUUUAGCUAUACCACAAUUGAUAGGUUCACUGCCUUUUGUGUGUUAUUUGAUAAUUAAAAGUAGUUUUAAAACUAAGUGAGUUUGCACACACCAAGUAUCUAAGGCAUACCCCCGGAAUGAGAUAGGUAUUGAAGCACGACUCAUCAUAGAAUGAACCAUGUCUAACAAGGUUCGAUUACGCCUUUCUACCACACCAUUCAACUGCGGUGUCCUAGGUGGCGUCAAUUGCGAAAUUAUUCCGCAUUCCUUGAGAUAGUCGUGGAGUUCAAGACUUAGGUACUCUCCUCCUCGAUCGGAUCGAAGUAUCUUGAUUUUCCUGCCCAAUUGAUUCUCCGCUUCAUUUUUGAACUCUUUGAAAUUUUCAAACGUUUCUGACUUGUGCUUGAUUAAGUAAAUAUACCCAUAUCUGCUAUAAUCAUCGGUAAAAGUCACGUAGAAGCGGUUCACAUCCUUUAUGGUGGAUCUAAAGGGCCCAUAUACAUCGGUAUGUAUGAGAUCCAAUAAACCCUCACCCAUCUCACAAGUGCCAGUGAAGGGUGACUUGGUCAUCUUUCCAAGUAAACAAGAUUCGCACGUGUCAUCUUCCCUAAGGUCGAAUGACUCCAACAAUCCAUCCUUUUGGAGUUGGGCUAUGCGCUUCUUGUUGACAUGUCCAAGAUGACAACGCAACAAACAUGCUUUAUCCAUACUAUUGGAAGAAUCCAUACACAACACAUCAUUUACUAGGUUAUCUACAACCAUAACAGUUUCAUAAAUUCCAUUACAAGGCAUUGCUUCAAAGAAUAAAACACCAUUUAGAUAAGCAUAAAUAGAACCAUUCAAAUUAUUAAACGAAUAUCUAAAUCCUUGUCUAAACAAACCAUGAAAUGAAAUGAUGUUUCUUGCCAGAUAUGGUGAGUAGCAACAAUUAUUUAAAUCUAAACCUAAUCCAUUACUAAGCACUAAAGAAUACACUCCAAUCUUGGUAACAGGCGACGAUCUUCUGUUUCCCAUGAUUUGAUUUAUUCUUCCAUGCUCCACAUCCCUAUUUCUUCUUAGUCCCUGCAAACCGGAACAAAUGUGGUAACCACAUCCUGUAUCAAGAACCCAAGAAAUAGCAUGAGAUGAAUCACUAGAUUUAAUUGUGUAAAUGCCUGCGAAAGACGGCUUGAUCUUCCCAUCCUUGAUGGCUUGCAGAUAUUCCGGGCAGCUUCUCUUCCAAUGCCCUAUUUUGUGGCAAUAGUGGCACUCUGCCUCCUUUGGGUUAGAGUUGGGCUUAGCAGGGCAAUCUUUGGUCCCACUAGAAGAGGAACCAUCUUGGAACUUUCCCUUGUGGUGGAUCUUUGACGGAGCCUUCCUCUUCUUCCCCCUUCUUUGCCCAAUAGCCAAAACAGGAGCAGCGGGUGGUGCGGGAGUCGGUGCAACAGACUUUUCCUUGAGGUUGCUCUCAGCAGUCCUUAGGAGUCCAUGGAGUUUGCUUAGGGUGACCUCUUCCUUGUUCAUGUGGUAGGUCAUCCUAAAUUGGUUGUAGCAUGAGGGAAAGUAGUGAAGAACAAUGUCGAUGGCCAAAUCCUCCCCAAAGUUAACAUUUAACUUGCAAAGACGAUCAACAUAUCUUUGCAUCUUUUGCAAGUGCACGGUUAACGAUUCUCCACUUCCCAUAUUAGCAGUGAUCAUGUUCGUAAUGAUCUCAUAGUGCUCUUGCCUCGCGCUUUGGUGGUACCUCUCCAUUAAGUCUUGAUGCAUUUCAUAGGGAUACAUGUCCUCAUGACUUUUGGAAUUCUUGGUUCAUUGUGGCUAUCAUGAUGCAAUGGAAUUUUGUUGCAUCACGUUCGUGGGUCUCAAAGACAGCCAUUUCUUCGGGAGUAGCGAUUUAUGGGUUGACCUUCUUGAGCUUUUCGUCGAGGACAUACUCUUUGUCCUCGUAGCAUGAAAUCGUGCGAAUGUAUCUUAUCCAUUCGCUAAAGUUCGAUCCAUCGAAAGUCACCUUUUGAUAAAGACUCAUUAGCGUGAAUGAGUUAACAGCAGCGUUGUUCGCGUUCGACAUCUACAAAUAGAAAAGACAAAGUUUGAUUAGAAUUGAAUCCCUAAUUAAACACCCAAAAUGAAAAAUUAGGGCUGGGACCCAACAACAUUAUUUACAUAUUAGAAAAGGGAUGUCGUAAUCCAACACGCAAAUAAUUUGGAGGUAAGUUAAUGACGAUUCACUAAUUCUUCACCAUGAAAAACAUAACCUUAAGUUUUAAUUGCAUUGAGAAUUCCUAGAUUUUCUUGGAGAUUCAUUGAACUUUUCAAUGGCAUGUUUAAAUCUCGAUAUGCCCCUCUUGUUUGUGACUAGGAUGCCGAGGAUCACAAAAUGGGUGCGAAUAACCAUGCAAAUCUACACGGUGCCUUCAUUGUAACAAUCACCUAUUUGAGGUGCCGGUAAACCACACACGCUCGAUUAACUUCUUAGCAAGGGUGCAAAGUGUAGUUUCAUGGGAUUGCAUCAAUUCACUUUUGCCUAAAGUAAUUAGGAUUGGGAAUUUGGAAAAACAUGUAGUUACUUUAUAUUUUAACAUUAUACUUUUAAUGAGGAGAGAGAGUUGCCCUAUCCUACCUGUUCGGCUAAUGACCCUCCACCAGUCAAGCAAGCGGUGGGUGUAAGUGUACACCCAUUAAGAGCCAUUUUAUAGGCAACAACCUUAUACCCACCUUAUAGAUCGGCUUCGUGAAUGAGGCCUACUAACGGUACGACUAGCAUUUUAAUUAUACUUAUAUAUUCAUUAAGCUUUUAAUAAUAUAAUAGUAUAGGGUUGAAUUUUAAACAUGUAAAACUCUAGGGUUGAAAUUUAAAUUCUUCAAAAUUAAACUUUUAAUCACAAAUUCAAAUUUCAAAACUUGAGGACAAAUUUUGAACUUUUCAAAACUAAAGGGAUCAAAUAACAAAUAAUUCAAAUUAAAUAAUUAAUUUCAUAAUUAUCUAUAUUUGACCAAAUCCAAUUUUAGUCAUUAGAUAAUUACCAAAUAAGUUUAAAUAGUCCAUAUUUAACAUAUAAAUAACCAAUAUUCAAAAGAUUUGAAAUUAUCUAUUGUUAUGUCAACGAUAAUCAUUUGAUUAAGUCAAAAUUCGGAUUUUAACAUUACAAAACAAUUUAGGUAUCAAACCCAAGACAAAACAACAACUAAAUCCCGAAAUAUCUUCUACCUGACGCUCGGACUCGUCGAGUCAGCUCUGAACUCGCCGAGUAGGGCCAACUCACCGAGUCCAGAUACUGACUCGCCGAGUAGGGUCAGGCAGGGUCCAAAAUAGUUAAGCAUCACAUACAAUUGAAACCAAUCAAGGCUCUGAUACCACUGAUGGGUUUGAGCCAUAAGCACUUUCCUAUGUGCACAUGCAAACCUUAAUGCUUGGAUCUAGGUUUCUCUAAUUGAACAUGCAAUGUAUCCAAGACUUUCAUUCAUAGAUCUAGUGUAAACAAACAAUUCAUAACAUAUGAAAUCAGAUCUAGAAGAAUACCUUGAGUUACUUACUUGAAACUUCUUAUUCUUGGAGCUUAGAGUCAUAAUUGUCACUCCUCUAAUGGCUUACAAACACCUACUAGCAAGAAGAUGAUUUCAGAGUGGGAGAGAGGUGAGAAAUCAACCCUAGGGUUUCCUCAAUCAUAGAGUGGCCGAUUUCCUCAACCCUAAGGAUCUAUUUAUACUAUGAGCUCCUAGGGUUUCACCCUAAACCCUAAUUAGAUAACUUAGCCUCAAAGUAAUCCAAAGAUCCUUCUAGAUAAUGGCUUGGACGAUUUUAAGAUAUCCGUAUCCUAAAAAUCNCCAUAAGGAUCAUAGCCUAAAACACAACUAUCACACAUUUGACAGUUUAUGCCCCUUUAUUCAAUUAAUCUCUUUAAGUCACUAAAUUAAUUCCUAAUUAAUUUAUGACUUAUAUCAAUCAAAUAAUAUUAUUAUUCCUUUAACAUAUUAUUCUUAUAAUACAUUAAUAAUAAUAAUAUAUCUUCUCUCUAUAUAAACCACCCUGUCGAGUUGCUAUGGUGAAGGCAACCCAAAAAGACCAUGCACAACCGGGUCAAGUACUUACCAAUUAUAGUUCAGCCUUAGACACUAAUCCAAUAGUAUUGGGCCCAUACUACUAAAAGCAUAAAAUCGAUACUCGAAUCGGUGAGAGUCUUGGAGAAUCUGAGAAGCUUAUGGGAAGGAGAAUUCUUGGUUAUGCCUUGAUCAUGGGAAUAAUUACUUGGCGGAAUGAGGAUGAGCAUGCAUGAGUGGGAUCAGGAUUUGGUCCCAGCCCCAGUGGUGAGCCAAUUGGUGGAAGGACUGCCAAGAUUUCAAGUUCGCCUUGGAUCUUUUGUAUCCAGCGGCAAGGGUUGAUUGUGCGAUUUAUUGUGCUUUGGGAUUUGAAACUAUCUCUUGAGAAUAGUUUAUAGUCGAUUUAGGGCAGCGGUUGCCCCAACUGCUAUUGAUUGAGCCGGUGAGAGUGUUAGGGUGCGAUAUCCUAAAUGAUAUGGAUUUCAGAACCGAGGACCAAAGAUUGAUUAGGGUACCUCAAUGUGAGAGGUUCAGGUCAGGUGAAUUUAUUGGAGGGUCUCGGGCAGAGACCCAAGAGUCUGGAUCAGCUUUUGAGAGGCCAACGGGGUCAGAUCCAAUGCAACGCUUGCAGAAACUGCGCGACGAAGUUUUGUUCCAAGGAUUUGAAUUGUUAAUGGGAUCAGAAUGAGGUGUUACAUCAUGUUCUCAGGGUAGUCGAGGUAUCACAGGAGAAGGUGGUCAUGAUUCCUUCAUAUGUUGGCGUAUAUGCUAUCUUCGUCCAUUUCCGGUGGAUAUUGUGUAAUUGUAACGCUUGGGAAUCAUGAUAAGUUGGAUCUCGGGUUAGCUUCCUACUAUUGUCUGGGCUAGAAAGGGUUGUCAGAUGCCUUUCAUCAUGUCGAGGAAUCUUUGAGAGAUAUUUAGAUGGAUGUAUCUCGCGGAGUGGAUUUCGCGUGUACCAUGAUUGCUUCAAAUCGUUGUUAGAAUAUGUUUAAUGAUAUGGGUUAACAUAGAUGUAGCAAGUUUGGCCACGUCUUCAGGGAUUACCCGUAGGGAGUAAGCCCGUUAUAUUUUCGUUGUGUUCAGGUGGACGACAAGAAGGUCGACUGUCUGACGGUCAGAGAGGAGCAGUGAGUACACCUGAUCCAGUCAUUUUCGGGGUUGGUCCAAGUGUUUGAGCGAGAGAGUCAUCUCUAGUUUUCAGUAGCCUUGGUAUUUAUGUUAGCAAGAGCCAUCAAGAUUUCCGGGGGAAGCAAGAGUUGUCGCUGAGGUUUUGGUUAGACUAUCCGUUCGUUGGACUCCGAGAUCUAAAUGUGUUGUCACUUUUAAGCAUUUCAAGUCAUUGAUGUAGUUGGGAUGCAAGAAGUAUUAGUUGGAUUUCAAUUAGUGUGCUGUUUGUGCAAGGUUAUCCAUGGUGUUCUAGCUUUGGCAAGCAUCGGUCGUCAGCAAGGUGAACAUUGGAACAUAAUGAGGAUUAGGAUUCCUUCAAUUUUUAUGUGCCACACGGAUUUAGUCGAAUCUAAGUGGGGGAGAAACAUUCAGAUAUCUAGGAUACAAGCGAGCGUGAGAUGAGGAUGCCUCUCACAUUCCUUUUUGGGAGGAAAGGCGGCCUUAGGGGCCGACUGAGUAACGGAUAUCGUGGUAUGGGAGUUCGAGAAACUCCCUAACAUUGGAACGCAUCUUUCUAACGUCAUAUUGAAGGCUUCAGGGGAGGGAACCAGGUUUUAUCCCAGUCAGUAUUUGAGUGCAGUUUAGGAGGAUAGACUGUGUGGGUGCUCAACAUUGAGAUGUGUAUGGACCGUCAGGCUGAAAGUGUUGUAAGACUACGGGGGAGCCGUAGCAUUCGCUAAUGAACGAAUAGUGUGGGAGGUGUUGUAAGAUUACAUGGUAGACGUAGCAUUCACGGGUUCUCUCGAGUGAUUUGGACUAGGGCAGGCUAGUACGCAGGGUUGUGGUGAGGAUCAGGACCAAAGGUGAUUGACCGAUUAGAUAUCCGGGGACGAGUUCGGGUGGUUAUGGGAAUUUAGGAUGGACCUGGUAGAGACUGAUGGGCUAAGGGUUGGACCUUGUGAUAUAGGAUCUUGUGGUCUAACAAUGCAUGUUUCUGUAGGGCUAUAGAUGGGUAGCCCUAUUAUUGGAUCUCAUAAGAACCAGGUGGUUGGACCAGGUGCGAGACUGGAAGUCUCAGGGAAUCAGCUAAGGGUGUUUAGUAAUUGGUUGAGUAAAGGAUGACAGGAAGACAUGGCACAAUAUGCAAAUGCCGAUUCGAGGAUCUUUGGAUAGGACCGUAGUAACAAAUUGGGUUUGGAUAGGAACCCGAAUCGGAAUUUGUGCGGGAUUUUGUUUCAGUGAGUUGGGAUGUGGGGAAUCUAUAUGCCAAGGGCAUCGAGGUCAGAAGUCUAGGGUGGUUAUCGAAUUGGUUUGAUGGUAGUUUAAGCCAUUAUGAUGUGUCUCGGGUGGCCCUAUCUGUAAUAGAGCCAUGACAGGUCGGAAUCAAGAAGCGGUGGGUUACAGGAGGUCGGGUAUGAUGUAAGACUAUAACUAUGCUGGUAGUAUCCACCUUUAUGCAUCAGAUUCAGUGCGACAAGUUGCCAACCUAUCUCGAUUGGAUGGAUCAAUGGAUUUUCAGAGAUAGGGCAGUUAUGGUUAGAUGAGGUAUCUGUCGGAGGUCGCAGGGGACUGCUGAGUGUGUUUUUGGCCCAGAAAUCGGGUAUGUGUGCGAUGUUCCGGGCAGUUAGCAGCCGGGUUGGGACUGGGGAGGUCCCCAGGUGUUCUCCAGGAAAGCAUCCAUGUGGCAGCAAGGGGAGCAGGAGCGACUUCAGUGAUUUGGGGUCGGUAUGUGGAAUUGCUUGUUAUUCGGUAGUCGUGGUUGGUCGGUGAUAUUGUUCUUUAGGAAGCAUCAAGGUAUUGCGAGUGGGAAGUUCUCUAUCUAGACUGGUUUCUUGGGACAUCAGUUCGAUGAUGAUUCAUGGUGGGUAGUUUGUCAGGGAGACAGGCCAUCUCGAGACUUUAGAUUUCAGGUGGGGCAGGUGUGAUCGGGUUGCAAGGAAUUUGUUGAUCUCUAUGUUCUAGAACCUUAUGAGGAUUGGUUUCAAUUGCCUUGAGUAGAUUGUGGUAUUAACGGGUUUGUGGCGGUGUUGUUCAGGUGGUCUGCUGUGUCAGGGACGAUGAUGCAUGAUUUCGAGGACAAAAUCUAAUUUAAGUAGGGGAGAGUUGUAACGCCCCGUUCUAAAAAGUAAUUAUUUAUGGAUUCUUGAGAUCAAGAGUAAGGGCGUUUUGGUCUUUAGGGGCAAUGAGGUUUCAUUCGAGAAGGUUUCGGACCAGGGUAUGUUACUAGAAGCGUAGGGAUUCUCACCACCUUUCCGUGGACAUAAAGUUCGUCGAGAACGGAUCUAGAAUGAAGGAGUUGUAUUACUUUGAAGAUAUUGGAAACUAUGACCCUUAUGGAGGAAAUAGACGAGAAAGUGGCAUACAUGCUUUUAGGACACGCGUGGCUACGCCCAGCGUAGCGAGUAUUUGGAUCGCGGGGUGUAAGGCGUACGCCCAGCGUACGGUAAAGUUCAUUAAAUCCUAAUAUGGGUUGAGCCACUAUAUAUAGAACAUAAUGGCUUCAACCCUAGCCCUCGUAUCAACCUCCCUAACCUCAGAAGAAACCCUAGAAUGUUCCAACCUUCAUUUUUAGAGAUCUUGGCCUUGAAAAGCUCAUCUUGGUGGUUUUUAGCUUGGAAGAGAAAGGAAGAAGAUUUAGAAGGAGGAAACUUGGAGGCUAGAGUUUGUAGAUCUAGGACAAGAGCUUCAUUUUGGACCUCUUCAAGGUAAAAAGCUUUGAGGUUGAUGAAUAAUCUCUUAGAUCUCUCUUGGUACAAUUUUAUGGACUUUUUGGUUCCAAGAAUGCAUCUUUAUGACUCUAGCACGUUUCUAAGUCCAGGGUUACACCCUUAGUAUCAUAUGAGUCCCUUAUGAAGUAAAGUUUUAACCUUUAGGGCUCAUUUGUGAUCAUGCAUGUGAUCCAACCACCUUUAUGAAAGUAUGAUGUUAUAUUUCAAGUUUGGGAACAUUUGGUGGGUUGAAUGCCAACAACUAACCAACUUUAUAGCUUAAGACAUCUUAAUGGACUUGGAUCUGUGAUUAUAGCACCUGGAUUGGAGUGUUAAGCACUUAAUAUGGAAAUGACUUAGCAGAGCACUACGCUGAGCGUACGUGCAGCUACGCCCAGUGUACCAUCAUCGAGCCUGUACGCUAAGCGUAAAUUGAAUUACGCUCCGCGUAAAGCUAUCUGCUAGAUCAUGAGCUUUGGGUCGUGGUUUUGGGGCAUGUUUGGGUAAUUGGGCCUUAGUGGGCCCUCAGAAAUCAUAUUAUAUGGGUCAAGGAAUAUAAUUUGGGCUUAGGGUGAGGCCAUUAAGGGAUUGGGCUCAAUGUAGCAAAUUGGGCCAUUAGUGGGUUGCUAGUGGGCUUGAGUGGCUUUCUAGUGUUGGACUUUUCAUGUUGUGGUUUUGGCCUUAGUCAUGGACCAGAUUGGGUUAAGGGUAAAAUGGUCAAUUUACCCUUAGAAGGAUAUUGUUUUGGAGCUAAGUGUUUGUGGCAUUGAUAGUUCGAGGCGCUAGAGGAGCAGCGGUGCGGGGAUUGUCAGAUAGCAGUCAGAAGGGUACCGACAGUGUUUCAGCAGUUCAAGGUGAGUCUUCUCACCAUACCCAUGGGUCUACGGCACCAAGGCCGGCCCAUUAUGUGUUUAUGAUAUAUGUGCAAUUAAUCUGUGUCUUGAUAUAUAUUGUGAUCGUGUGUUUUGCAUGAAGACCCCGGGGGGAGCCCGUGGCCUUGGGUGUAAGACCAUGUGGGGUUGCCCAUGGCAGCCCAAGUAAAGACCAUGUGGGGUAGCCCAUGGCCUUGGGUGUAAGACCAUGUGGGAUAGCCCACGGUAGUCCAAGUAAAGACCAUGUGGGGUAGUCUAUGGCAUUGGAUGUAAGACCAUGUGUGGUAGCCCAUGGUAGUCCUAGGUAAAGUCCAUGUGGGGUAGCCCAUGGCACUCUUGCUGGUCCUUUGUAUGCAUGGCCUAUGUGAUCUGUUAUUAUGAUAUGUGUAUGUGUGGUAUGCUCUAGGAAACUCAUUAAGCUUCGUGCUUACAGGUUUUGUUUAAUGUUUCAGGUAUCGUCGUUUUGGAAAGAAAGGGCUUGGAUUGAUUGCAGUGCACACAAAUAUGAUUUCCGCAAUGAAUGAUUUUGGGAUGAACUCUGAUAAAUGUUUUACUUAAUGAUGAUUUGAAAUGUUAGGAAUAAAUGAUAAUUAUUUUUGGGUUAUAUUAGAAAUGAAAUUUUUACCCUUGAUUUUUGGGUCGUUACAAGUUGUAACUAGCAUUACAUCAAGUUGGCACAUUGUUGAUGUCUCAAAGGUUCAUCCUCACUCCAUCAACUUCCUAGCCUCCCCUGGAGAACUCAAAGUGGUUCAAAGGUUGUUACCACUUCUUUCUUCUAUUGUUGUGUUUUAAAUCUUUCCUCUAGAUGCAAGAUGAUCCUUGGUGGGUGAUAAAAUGUAUAUAUUAUUUUAUAAAACUCAAGUCUUCCAUUUGCCAUUAUUUGUAGUUUUUGAAACUAUUUUUUUAAAUAAAACCCAACAAAACUAUAACUUAAAAUUUAGAUAAUACCUAACAAACUAGCUAAUAGACAUUAAAUAAAUGAAUUAUUGUCAACUUAAUAGUUAGAUAAUACUUGCAAACUAACUAAUAGAAAAUGAUUUUAAUAAUAUUAGUUCAUAAUCUAACUAAUAAACCAAAUGUCUUUUAGCCCAACGGUAUAAGGUGUUGUUAUUUCUCUUUAAAGUUGAGGGUUCAAGUCUCAUCGUCAACAUUGGUAGAAUCAGGGAGUAGUUUAGGUGUAGAUUAAAUUUUCUUUUAAAUAAAAAGAUAUUCUGACUGAUAAAUAUCAAAUAACAUAAAAACAGGUAUAAAAAGAUAUUCUAACUAAGGUACUGUUUAUAGAGUUGGUUUGAUUGACACAGGUUGGUUUAUUCCACCACCUCAAAUCGACAACUUUAAUCUUUUUACCUCUGCCACUAGCGUGGCGUUUCGCUGAUGUUCACCGAUUUUGUAACGCAAUCAUAGUAGAAUUGGUGUCGCCGUAUCUUAUUCAUUAACAUAAUCGACUCCCUUCUACCCUCAAUUCAUCAUCUUCCUGAAAACCUCAUUUUGUGAUUCAUACACAUUACUAUCAUUGGCCCCUAUAAAUAUUUUCGCUAGCGACUCCAACACCACUUCCCACUUAUCCCUCCCACCAAUUCUAGGUAAGGUUUUUCCUUUCUUGCUCUAAAAAUCGAUUGUUAAUUCAUAGAUUUUUUUUAGCUCUGAAGCUUUGUUCUUCCUUUGGAUUUAUGUGGGUUUUUGGUUAAUUCAGUAAGGGUGACAAUAUUAUGUAUUAUUAUAAUCCCGGUUUCAUCAAAAAUAUACUAUCAUUGUCCCCUAUAAAUCUUUUCACUAGCGACCCCGUUACCACCUCUCACCGAUUCUAGGUAAGGUUUUUUCUUUCUUGCUCUAAAAAUUGAUUGUCAAUUCAUAGAUUUUUUUUAUUUAUUUAUGGAGUUGUGCUCUUCCUUUGGAUUUGUGUGGGUUUUUGGUCAAUUUGAUGAGGGUGACAACUGUCGUGUGUUAUUGUUAUCCCAAUUUCAUCAAAAAAAAAUAGAAUAUGAUAGAGAAGAAAGAUAAAUAAUAAUCCCUCAUAUGCAAAUAUAUAUUUGUAACUCCCGCAGAUUCAGGCUAGUCAAUUUAGAGACAAUAAGCGCAAAAAAUGACUUUUUGAUAGAAUAAAUGACUUUUUGAUAGAAUAUUAUUUAGAUCAAAUAAGCUUAACCAUGUUAUAAUGUAUGUCCAUACGUAUAAAGAACGCUGAAAUAUGAGUUAUAACGAAGAAGUUAUGACCUGUUGAAGUUUUACGGCAAAACUGACACGACACCGAGAAUCGUAAAUAGUGAGUUUGCGAUAAAAUACUUUUUAUACUUAGCGGUCUAAAUAAAAGUCAUAGUAUACGUUAAACCGAGAACGUGCAUAAAAAGAACGUCUAAAUCUGUCUUCGUAUGAGGAAGUUAUGAUUUUUCUAAGAUUUAGCAUAGCAGUGCAUAACCCGGAAUUCGAAUUUUAGAUCGACUGAAUUUUAGCUGACACAAUCUAAACGAGAAUCAAAGUUCUCGUUAAUAAUAACUCAAUGAUAAAAAUACAGAUGAAAACGGGCGUCAGAUGACUAAGUUAUGAAUUUUUAACGGAUUUUAACUGUCUAAGUCUGUUAAAAUAUAACUUUAAAAAUAAAUUCAAAAUUAGCCGACAGAGUCUAAAUGAAAGUUGUAGAUCAUUUUCUGCCUACGCGUGGAUAUGAAGAUCAUCAAAAACGGAGCACGUAUACGAAAGCUACUGAUUUUAGAAGAUAAUUAGCUUUCAGAAUAAUCUGCGAGUGGCACUUGGCACAAUCCUAACUAUUGCUUCCUCCCCAUGCCUUGCUACCAGAUGGUGACACUUGGCACUCAACUAGACAAUUUUGAGGCUCAGAACUCGCCGAGUUGGGCCAUUUCUCAGCUUAUAAAUACAGGCGCAAAUCUUCCAUUUCCUUCACACUUCUCUUAUUCUUUCUCUCUCAAACAUCUCUGUAAACCCCUCCUAAGCUUUAGUACUUCCCGAGUUCUAAGAGGCGAAUCUUGAAGCACCAGAAGGAUCCAAGAAAAAGAGCUUUCGGCUCGGAAGUUCUGCCCCUACAGAGCCUGGUUCCUAUCCAAACCUCCUAGUAAGUGAGUUAUUCUUAACCUACUUUAAGUAUAGCUUAUGUUUGAGUUCAAUAUCAUUAUUAUGAACUUAUAAACAAUAUUUGUGAGUAUUAUAAAAUAUAGAAAGNAUAUAUAUAUUAUAAAAUAUAAUAUACAAAGUGUUAUUAUAAUAUCUUUUAACUACUCGCGGUAUGGGGAAUCUGGUUUGAAGGGCCGCAUAGGGUUGUUGGAUUUUAGAAGUGCUAUAAUGCCAAAAUGGUCCUGCCCUCCUGUGUUUCAUGUUGUGCGGGCAUCCUACAAAACCGGGCAGUGUGUCCCUUCUUUUUGCAAUUGUUGGAGUACAUUUCUCGACAGGCUCCGGUGUGAUGGACGUUACAAUUGCUGCAUUUCGGUAGGUAACCGACAUAUUGUAUUAAUGGUGUUGCAGGGGUAAUGGCGGUACGGACGACAACGAUUUGUUGUUUCUUGGCGGUCUAUCUCUUCCUCUAAGGAGUGUAGGUGGUUCGUAUUGUUUUCCUGAUCUGCUAGUAGGCGUAGCAUCUGUAUGGCGUCCUUCUUGUUCGUAGAUGUGUUGAAUUUUGUAAUGUCAUGUUCCGAGAUUUGCCACUGAUCUCCAUUACUUCGUGACAGAGAGUCUAAACCCAAAUGUCCGAGUGGGCCUUUCAUGGUACGAUCAGGGGUAGUGUUCAAUUUGUAGGUGUUAGGGUCCGGAGCAUGGUGUAGUGGGUGUAUGUAUAUUGUGGUGAUGUAUCUUGGAAUGAUAGAGGUGAAAGGGUCUUAUGCCUACUCCUGGUAAGUUAAGUUUCAUUAAUGAUCUCACUGAUGCCCUUCUCUUCAUGUGAUCCCUUCUCAAGAUCCUCUUCAUGAACUCCUUUUGGUUCUUCUUCAAUUCAUAUGUUGAUUGUUUUGGUAGCGUUGCAGUGUCUAGAUAUGUCGUUGGUGCGAGAAUAGGGGUCUAUAAAGAAUCUAUGAGGUUAAUAGAAGCACUUUCAAUGAAAAUUUUAUGACGUGAUCCUUACCUGGUCCUCUUAUAAUCAUGUAGUGUAUACAAGAUGUAUAUAACAAAGAUCGAAUAGACCUUCGAAUAAGUGGUUCCACUCUAAGCCCACGACCAAACAAUGAACAGGAUUUAAAGUGGAAUCACAAAUUCUAAGUCUAUUAAAUCUUAAUUGUAUAUCACUCUAAUGUAUACACUAACAAAUUAUAGACCUACCAGUAAGGAUCUUUAGUUUUCACAUCAAUUAUCUAUAGUAUCAUAAAACACUCCUAUAGUAUUUUAAUUUUUUUUGUUUUAGAGCUUCUUGGUAUAUAUACAGUCGGUAAGUUUUAGAUUUGUUGCCCACCACGACUAUUCACAGGCAUAUGCUAGUCACCUCUCGGUUAAAUAUAGUUGAUCAGGCUAUAUUCAUCCAAGACCUGAUUACAUUUACCAAGGUUUACUCAUAGUGUCCAACUUAUCUUAAUACUUUUGUUUUAUUCUCAUUAUGACACUGUUCUAGUAUGUAUGUGUGUCUGUAUAAUUCUAUAAAUAUUAUUAUAUUUAAAAUUAUAACUCUUGGUCAGAGUAUUUUAGCCCCAUUGUAUUUAUAGUUGUAUAUCUUAUAUGGUUUGAUACAGUUAGUUCAUUAUAAACAAUGCUCUAAUACAAAUCUGUCACACCCUCAAACCGGAACGGUGGAAACGUCCGGGGGUGGAUGACAUCAUGUACAUUAUCAUAACAAUUGAAUAGUAGUAAUCAAAGAAACACAACCAUCAUAUUGAAAAUACAUAAUUUACAUUGUGUUCGAAUCAUUGUUUGUUUGACACCAAAACUAUAGCCAAAAACUAAGAUGUGACGCUACUAUACUCCGUCUUCUCGAAACUUGUAUGGGUACCUGUCUACUAAUUUCCUGAGAAUACAAGUGGUUUGAAAAAGUGUCAAAAUUUAAGUUGGUGAGUUAGUGUUUUCUUCCAAAAAAUCCAAUAUUUUCUUUGUAUAAGUGUUGUAAUCUUAGUACCUUAAGACCAAAAUGUAUAAGUUUCUUAUGCUUAAAAUUUUUAAUAUGGAGUUCUAAUUUAUGUAAGUGGUGUGACCCAUACUGGUACCUCCUAUGAUCAGUUAGUGUAUACAAGUUAUAUAUAAUCAAGAUCGAACGGACAGUCGGAUGAGUGAUUCUGCCCUAAGCCCACAACCAAACAAGGAACAGGAUCUAAGGCGGAAUCAUACAUUCUCAUGCCUAUAGGAUCAUAAUUAUAUAUAACCCUGACGUAUAUGCUAAGUAAUCACAAAGUUACCAAUAAUGGUCAUUUCAGAAGUGUAAGUUGCACUGUACUAGAAUAAUAGAGUACUACAAUUGUAUUUGUAUGCAACCCUUUUAAAUGUAUGUUUCUAGGAAUGUAAAUUGUGUUUUAAUGGAAAAUCAUGUAAUGUAGUUUUAUUACUAAGUAAAACUAGUUGAAGAUGUGUUUGCCCCGUAAAAUAAAUGUAAAGUUAGUAACCCUUUAAGACUGUUUGAAAAAAUAUAUUACUCCGUAAAUGUGUCGUCGUUUUCUCCAUGUGAGUUCCUAUAACCAUACUAUGACCCAGUCGGUCUGAUACGACGUUCUUCAGGCGUCAAAAUAUUAACGAUAUUUGUCACCCCAGACUUAUCGGUCAAACUAUAGCUAAUAGUCAGGGUGUGGGAUUGUCGGUACCAUAUAGAUCGAUACACAAAUAUCUCGCUCUCCCUACAAGAGACUCUGCUUAUAAGUUAGGACUUUUGUUAGUACUUAGGUAAGUACGUGAAGACGUGUCUCACAAUUUUAUUGCUUAACGAGUUUACGAGUAAUGAAAUGAAAAACCCAUUAGCAAAUGAAAAUGUAAAACCAUUUAGUAAAUGAAAAUGUAACUUUUCCAUAGAAAUUUCUGAGUGUAUAAAUAUUGUAAAAUGACCCAUAAACUAUACCUUUUAUAGUUUUUAUUGUUUGUUCUAUUGAAAUGAAAAACCUUUGUAUUUUAACAGCUUUGUAUGAAGAGUUUAUAAGUUAGGUAGUAACGUUAUUUAACAUUUUUGCGUAAAGUGUACAUAAAGUAUAAGAAAACAUAGUAAGAGAUCUGUAUAUUUACACAAGUAUUCGUGUGUUUUUACUUGUAUUCUUCCCUAAAACAUAGAAAAACCUUGAAAAAUGUGGGGGUAUGAACUCACCUCAACUGUGAUUGCGGUUAGAUGACGAGGUAAAAAUGGUGAUCUUCGAGUUAGAACGCUAGAAGGUAGUUGUAUCCUAAUCGUUAUAAACACAUAAUGAUAUGUGUAAAUUAAAUGAACUAGCAUGGGAUUGUGGUUGUAUAAGACUAGGUUAUAAGAAAUGCUCACCAAGAUUCUAAAGAACAACUUUAAAGAAAUAGACUUCCUGAGAUUGUUUUGAACUUGAGGUUGAAAGGAAAAUGGUUUGUGUUCUGAGAGAUUAUGAAGUGAAGUUUGUUUACUGUAAAUGAGGGUUCAAAGGAUCUUAAUUCAUGGCUUAUAUAUGAAGAAGUAAGAUAAGGUGAUGUUAUAUAUACAUAGGUAAGUGUAAUCUAUCACAUUGGGAAGAGUAUCAACCAAUCAAGUUGUAACACCGGAGUCCAGGAAACCUAGAAAGGAAAAAAAACCCUAAGUCAAGAAGAACUCACCGAGCCCAGGGACGAACUCGAUGAGUAGGAGCGGAUUUUGGGACGCGGGUAAAGUGACCUACUCCACGAGUUGGAGGACCAACACGGCGAGUUGGUCUGGGUUUGGUAAAACCUAAAUCCAGGUCGUGUACCCUAUUUAAGCAUCUUAUUCUCCUCCCAUGCAGCCCCUAUUGUGUCCCUUAGUCCAGAAAGCCCUAACUCAUGACCCUUGAGCUUUGAUGAGUGUGUGAGAUAUUUUUAAGAGUGUUUGUGUGAUCUUGGAGCUAGAAGAAGAAGAAGAAGAAGCUAGAAGGUUCAAGGAAGCAGCAGAUCCAGGGUUCAAGCUCCAUUUCCAAUCCCUUUAAGGUAUAAAGUUGCUUCCUUUACUUCCCUAUUUCUAGAAAUAUCUCUCCUUGUUUUAGUUUAGGGCCAUCUUUUAGCAAUUUAGUGAACCUUUUUUAGUAUGGCAUGUGAUCGGAAUUUGUAACUUCAGAUCCAGAUCCCUUUCAGCCCCUAUAGCUAAAAAGUUCACGAAUUUAUCAUGCUUUAACCCUUCCCUUUGGCCUAGACUUUAUUUUAGACUUGGAAAUGGUGUUUUUGGCUCAUAACACCUUGCAUGCAUGUAAAGUUUCUAAGUUUACGUGUAAAAUCUACCCUAGGAGGUCAGAUCUAUGUUUUAGAAGCGUUAUCUCGACUGAAAUCGACUGUAUGGACUUGGAAUUUGGGGGACUCGACAAGUAGUUCAUAAGACUCGGCGAGUCGAGUAAUGGUUACCCAACCUUUUAUGUUUCGGAGCAAUCUGGUUGGGUCUAGAAGAGGACUCAACAAGAUGGGAGUGAAUAUGGACUUGAAGAUCACAGAACUCGAUGAGUUCAAGGAUAAACUCGGCGAGUUCAAGGCAAUGUCCCGACUGAUAUAAAGAAGAACUCGACGAGUUCAAGGAAGAACUCGGUGAGUCAAGGGCUAAACGUUCCAGCUUAUAUGAAGCAGGACUCGAUGAGUUUAAGGAUGAACUUGGCGAUUCAUGAGCAAAAAGGCCCUAAUUUUGCAUGAGGAAGAAGUCGCCGAGUUCCUGAAAGACUUGACGAGUAGGAUCGAAGUUCCAGUAUUUUGUGGAUUAUGGAACUCGAUGAGUUGUUGGACCAACUCGGUGAGUUGAGUCAACCAGAUGUUGACUUUGACCAGAUUGUUUGCCUUGACUUUAGCUUUGACCUGAGUUGACCCUGGAAAGGGUUAUGAGCAUGAAAUGGUAAUUAAGGAAGGAUGUUAUAUGUAGGAGUUUGAGUUGUAAGAGGAGUUGAUCCCCGCACCGAGGACAGUUCAGAUACUACACGACAUUGAGGUGUGUUACCUUCCAGUAGAAGUGGGUCUAAGGAACCAAGGUCGGCCCACUAGUAAGAGUUAUAGUAGAGACAAUUGUCUUCGUGAUAAUUGUCUGGUAUGUUAUCAAUUAUGAUUAUGUGCUAGCCUGAUAUGAUGUUAUGUGGUAGUAGGUAGUGGGGGGAAUAGUCCUCGUGUUACAAUAGUAGGGACCGAAGGGUAGGUCGGGCACCCUAGAUAUGCUUGACAGUAUGUUUAUGCUAUGUUAUUAUGUGGUAGUAUAAGUGUUGAAAUAGUCCCCGUAGCCGGUUGAGAUAAACCGGAGGGUAGGUCGGCACCCCAGAAUUGCUAGACAGGAUAGGUUGGCACCCCCAGAAUUGUCAGAAGGGGUAGGUUGGCACCCUAGAAUUGCUAGAAAGGGUAGGUCGGCACCUGAGAAUUGCUAGACAGGGUAGGUCGGCACCCCAGAAUUGCUAGACAGGGUAGGUCAGAACCCCAUAAUUGCCUGACAAGGAAAGACGGGCACCCCAGAAUUGCCCAGCAGUAUGUUAGUUAUGUGAUAUGUGAUAUGAUGGGGGAACUCACUAAGCUUUGUGCUUACACUUUUCACUUUUGGUUUUAGGUACUUCGUUUUCAAAGAAAAGGAGCCGACGAUCACAGCGCAUCACACUAUGUUUUCUGCACAUGAGAUCUUUAGGAUUACACUCUGAUAUUAUUUUAUGAUUACAUGUUUGACUAUUUACACUUUGGUUUUGACAUGAGAUGUUAUUAUGGAUGUUUUUUUUACUAAUUGGUUUUAUGAAUUGUUAAACAAAACACAUAAUUUUUGGCCUUAUAUUUUGGGAUGUUACAAGUUGGUAUCAGAGCCUUGGUUUAAGGGAUUCAGAAAGACUCUCGGGUGUGUCUGGACUCAAACUGAGGACUUGGUAUAAAAAUUUUCGAAAGAAAACUCAUUUUAUAAAAAGAAGUUUGAAAUGGAUUUGAAAAAGAGAAAAGAACAAGGUGUUUGAUGUGUGCAAUUAGCCGAGCUCAAGUAAGUUUUCCCCAAGAUACCCAUACAUGUUAUGUUAUGAUAUGAUACGAUUAUGAGAACUGCAUGCUAGAUUAGGGCUAAUGAAACAUCCCAAAUAUACGGCCCAAAAUUUUCGUUUUAAAACUUAUAAAAAAACUAUAAAUCAUCCAUCAAUCACAAAGAAAAUCAAGAAGCAUGUAUAUUAAAACAUCAUAUCAAAUACUGUAUCAAAAUCAUAUGAGAUAAAUAUCAGAUUCCAAACUCCCUGGCUGAAACUAUGGUGUCUGCUAUGUGAUCAUCCCGAGCCCUUCCCCUUGCUAGUGGAAGUACCUAAAACCAAAACUGAAAAUUGUAAGCACGAAGCUUAGUGAGUCUCCCCAAAAUACCAUAUACCAUACACAUAACAUGCAACUAGGAGAUACGAGCCCCGCCCACUCUCAUGGAGAUUCGGGCCCCACCCACACUCUGUUGUCUAACAUGUAUACAAGUAUCAUAUAGACAACAAGUAUAUCUAUCCCUAUCAAACAGUCACAUAACUAUACUCAGAUAAUACUAUGAGAUUUGGGCCCCACCCACACUCGGCUGCUAUGAAAUUCAGGCCCCACCCAUACACUCCACUACUAAAAUAUCACAUAUACGGGGUGGCCUUUGUGCCUUCGACCCGUUCCUUCUGAAAGGAAACUCACCUCUCAAACUGGAUGUUGAACUCGUGCAUGAGGAAUCUCUACUAGCUGCUCCCACGACCCCCUAGUUAACUUUAUACAAUAAUAUUUAUUUCGUAACUGAAAGGGUAAACUGACCAUUUUACCACUGGUUAAAGUCAAUGUUCUGGUCAAAGUCAACAUCCUAAGUUGACCAACUCGUCGAGUCAACCUUUCAACUCAUUGAGCUCUUAAACUCUAAAAUCCUGAAAUCAUGACUCAACUCGCCGAGUCUUAUCGAGUUGGUCAUAGUCGCGACUUGGCAAAUCAACUCAUUGAGUCACUCUACAAACUCGUCGAGUUUUACUAUAAACUAGAAUCGGGACAACAGGACUUGACUCGUUGAGUUCCCCUAUAGACUCGAUGAGUCCCUCUGUCUGUUUGGCCAUCUUAACAGAUUAAGCCCCUAUUCUCUAGAUCCAAGGUCCACACUUCGCUUGAACCUUGAAAAUGUCCUUAUUAAGGGUAAAGUUUCUUACUUUACCCAUUAAUUCCACUUCUUAGAGGGUUUAGUUCAAACCCUAAUUCCUUGGGACCUAGAACUUGGUCCUUAAGUCCUCCAUACACCAAACUCAAGUUUACAACCUCAGAUCCAAACCCCUAACGCCACUUGGACACGUAAAGUCUCGAGCUUGCUUCCAUGCAUGGCCUUUUAGGGCUAAAAAGGCCAUAUAAAUGAUCAUAAAGUUGCAUGGGCUCCCAUGGUCAUAAAUUUUGCACCUUUAUGCCAUGGAACCCCUCCUAGAUCCCAAAUCUGAACCAUGUGUCACUUGAGGCGUCCAAAACCCAAAGAUUAAGACUCUUGAACCAAAAUCAUCAUAAAAAGGAAAUAACUAGAUCUAAGAGAAGAAUGAUCAAGUUAGAGACUUGAUUACCAAAACGUCCAACAAAUGGAUUGUAGCUUCUGGAUCUAUUCCUUCCCUCUUGAGCUCUCUAUCUUCUUCUCCUUCUACAAGCUUCACAAUGCACAAAAUUCACUCAAAAUGGCUCACACACUCAAGAAAAGUUUUAGGGUUUCGUGGACUAGGGUUUGGGACAAGGAGGCUAUGAAUGAGGCCAAUGGGUGGAGGUUAUGAUGCUUAAAUAGGGUGCAAAACCCUGAAAUUAGGUUUUCACUCUGGAUGAGCUACUCGUCAAGUUGGGGGUAACGACUCGCCGAGUAAGUAACUUUAACCCCGCUCAUAAACUUCCCUUUACUCGAAGAGUUAGGUCCACCAACUCGUCGAGUCCUUCUUUCAAAAUGAAUAUAUAACUGAAUUAAAUGCGUACCAGGAAAUGGGCGUUACAGCUAAGGAUCUAGGAAGGAUGCCUUAUAUGCCUACUAUAUGUCCUUGUAGAUCUGCAUGCUAGUACUGAUCAGUUAGUGAUAUGAUAGUCUGUUUAGGUUAUGCCUGAUUUUAUGAGCCUUUGAAUUACAUGCUAGUAUAGAUUCCUAAUAAGAGGAUAGAAUGGCUUGUUUGGUUUGAUUUUAUGUUGUCUGAAUGCUGCUUGCUUUGUGCUUUGUGGGACUUCGAGUGAUGGGAGUUAAUUACUAGAUGAAUACGUUAAGUCACAUGUGACUAGGGUUGAAUAAUCUCAGAGUGUUGGAUUUGACCCUAUUGUGCAGCUCUCGUCUGAGUCUAACCGUUGUAGGGAUGAGUCCUUUACGCAAAGGAUUAUCUGAGCCUUGUCACAUGUGAUGGUAUUCAUGUAGUGGUUAAUUGGCAUCAUGAAGAGUCUUUCAGCAGCUGAGGACAGGGUGGGUUCAGGAAUCUAGGAAAGCCUAGGAUGAGUUUACUGUUGGGAACAGUGUUAGUAGAAAGUAACUUGGAGGAUUCGGGAUGAUUGAUGAGGAAAGUAUGGAUAGGUGUGGAAGGUGGUAUUGGGCCCGUACUACUGAAAGCACAUGAUCCAUAAUCGAAUUGAUGAGAGUCUUGGAGAAUUUGAGAAGCUUCGGGAAGGAGUUUAUGACCCAGUUUGGGGACAGAGGAUGUUCUAAAUGCUGCAGCUCAGUCAUUGGCAAGUGAGCAAGUAAGUGUGAUAGGGUGUCAGACCCUGUAGGAUAUGACUUCUAAGUCCGAGGAUGCGAAAUCGAUUUGGCACUUUGAGAGGAUAGGGUCAUGUCAGGUGCAUAUAGUAGGGGGUCUUGGGGAGAGACCCAAUACUUCUGAUCAUCGGGUGAAAGGCCAGGGAGUUUCACAAUCCAGGAGUUAGGCUGCCACAAGUGUAGCGGGGGUUAGUCAUGUCAGAAGAAGGAGUCAGUCCCUAUAGUUUCAGACAAGAGAAGUCAGAACUCUCGCAGGCGAUGCUGCAGGUAUGUAACCUUGCCUUCUUUUAGUUUUAUUUUCACAUUGUUGUGGGAAUUAUGUUGUGGUUUGGGAUACUAUAGUAGGAUGAGUAAGUGUAUCCCUAGUUUAUCUCUUUACUCCUGUUAGGUUAGAUCAUUAAAUAUCAUCAUAUGCCAAUUGCAUGCUGUGAAUUACUAGUGGUUAGUGUAAUAUCGUUCUCCUUUUGCUAGUUUGCGGUGCUCAGUGUUCUCUCGGUUCAUAGUACAGACUUGUCACAGGGCAGUAAGGGGCUCAUUUGGAGCCCAAAGCCUAUGAACCCUUAGAGUCCUUCGGGAAGGAGAAUCCUAUUGUUAGUUCAUGUCAUCAAGAUUGGAAGGGAGUUUUGCACCAUGUCCUCGGAAUGAUCGAGGUAUCUCGGGAGGAGGUGAUCAGGAAUCCUUCAGAUGACUAUGGGUGUGUAUUUUCUGCUAGUCCUAGGUGGAUGUUAGGAAUAUGUAUCGCUCUGGAAAUUAUGAGUGAGUUUGGAUAAGUCAGAUCUCGGUUUGGUUCUCUACUAUUUUCUGGGUUAUCAAGGAUUUUUAUAUGCAAUCCUGCAUGCCGAAAAGUCAUUGGUGAACCUGCAAAGGGACAUACCUUGCGAGUGGGUUCUACGUGUACCGUUAUCCUUCCGAAUUCUUAUCGGAAUAUGUGCAAGAGUAUUAUUUGCAGGAUAUUUGGUCAGGGUUGGACUGAUAGUUAUCCAGUGAAGUCAGAGUUCAGUGGUUCCAUCAUUGUUCGGGUAUGGUUGACAAGUGUCUAUGGAAGAACCUUGUAGUUUGAGGCACUACCAUUGCUAGGAAAGGACUGGUAGCAUGAAUAUGGUAGUGUCAGUUGUGGGUGUUAGAUGCAUAAACGGUUGAUCGUUGGAUGGUCAUGAGAAUCGCAUUUUCGCAUGGGUUGUGUUCGGUAGAGCUAAGUGGUGCUGCAAGAUUGGAAGUAGGAAUGAGGAUUUAUCAACCAGGGUAAAGAUUAAGACCUCUAGUUGUCAGCAGGGGAGGUGGACGGAGGUGUCGAACCCGACCAAAUUUCAAGAGUACUCUUCAAGAUUUUAGAGGAUGGGCGAUCUCAGUGUUUAACCGGUGAUUGAUUGCUAGCAUUGGUAAGCACAGGUUGUCAUCAGUGGAUUAUUAAGAAGCAAGAAGGAUUAGAAAUCCUUCAAUUCUUAUGUGUUGUGAAGACUUGGUCGAAUCUAAGUGGGGGAGAAUCAAUCAGGUACCCAGGAGAAGAAAUGGGUAUGGAACUAGGAUGAGUUUUGCGUCCCUGUCAGAGGGGGAGGGGGUCGAGUAACCAUCUAGGUUGAGGAAUUGUGGGAGUUGGGAGCUCAGGAAAUGUCCCAACAUUUGGUCUAUGUUUUCCCUUGGCAUCGGAUAGCAGGCCUCGGGAAACUGGUCAGGGAUUUCAGACAGGACAUGAGUUCAGAUUAGGAUAUUAGAUUGUGUAUGUAUGCUCGACCUUAGGUGCGUUCAGAUUAGUAAUCAAUGGUAAGAACAUGGUUAGUGGUGGAGUUAGCGUGGAAAGUGAUAUAAGACUGUGGGUGUAGCCGUAGCAUUCACAAGGUUCUCAUGUAGUGUUGGAGGUGUUGUAAGUCUGUGGGUAUAGCUAUAGCAUUCACAAGGUUCUCAGACAGCGUUAGAGUGUUGUAAGUCUGCGGGUGUAGCCGUAGCAUUCACAAGAUUGGAAGAUAGUGCUAGAGUGUUGUAAGUUUGUGGUUGUAAUCGUAGCAUUCACGAGGUUGUAAGAUAAUGCUAGAGUGUUGUAAGGCUGCAGGUGUAGUCGUAGCAUUCACAAGGUUAGAAGAUAGUGCUAGAGUGUUGUAAGACUACAGGUGUAGCCGUAGCGUUCACAAGGUUUCCAGUUAGUGUUGGAGGUGUUGUAAGUCUGCGGGUGUAGCCAUAACAUUCAUAAAGUUGUUAGAUAGCGUUAGAGCGUUGUAAGUCGUGGGGGUAGCCGUAGUUUUCACUAGUUUGAUAGAUAAUAUGGGAGUGAUGUUAGAUCGCGAGAAGUACAGUAGUACCACCAGUUCGGGUGCAGUAGUGAGGAUAUGGAAAUCCACAGAUUGGGUUACGGAAUUACCCUGAUGGGUUAGAACUGGUUGAGCCAACGAUAAGACCGUGGGGAUGCCACGACAGUCAUGGGAUCAAGGGAACAAUAGUCCGCAUAAGGUUAAUUAUGAUAUAAUGCUAUCUUCAGUCAUGUAGCAAUCACUUUUAGCCUUGGAUGUGGUGACAUCGGAAUUUGACGUAUGGAUCGAUCAGUCGGAUCGGGAGGUCGUUAGGGCCAGAGUGGCAAGAUAACUAAUGGAAACUAUUAACAGAUGAGGAGUUUGCUCGAAAGUCGCUUAGGGAGACUGUGUGGGAGUCUUUUGGCUCUGUAAUCGGGCCGAAAACAGUAGUUCAGAUGACUGGCAGACGAAUCGAGACCACGAAGGUCUCAAUGGAUUUUGGAAAGCAGCCGAGAAGUAGCAUAUUAUUCAGGCCGUUUAGUGUUUCAGUCCAUUCAUCGUUUCAGACCGUUCAAUGUUUCAGGCAGUUUAAUGUUUCAGACAGAUCAACGUUUCGGGCAGUUCCAGUGUAUCGGACAGUAUUGGUGAUUUUAGGAUUUCAUGUAUGGACAGAGUAACUGGUUGAUGGGAAGCAAUAAGUCACUCGCAGUGGGAUUAAAUAAUCUCAGAGUAGUUGAUUUGACUCUAUUGCACAGCUCUUGUAUGAGUCUAACUGUUGCAGGGAUGUAUCUUCUACUCGAAGGAUUACCUGAGCGCUCUGUCAAGUAUCAGUAUUCUACAGCUAGUUAUGGACAAGGAUUUUGUUCUGGUGAUAGAAUUGAUAUAAUUAGUACUAGGGAGUGUGCAUGUAGUCAGUUGCUUGAUGAGGUCUUGGCGCAGAAGUUUUGGGGAUAUAGGCGGUCCGUCUGGGAGACAGACCAUUAUAGAAUUCAGAUCUCGGAAGAACAGAAGUAGUUCUCGACAUGACAAUAAGGAUUGAUUCUUUGUCGGUUUGGAAAGUCCUAGUAGUUGGUUUCAGCUGCCUUGGGAAGGCCACUGAAUGUUGGGAGUGACAGUUAUACCACCAGGAUCACGGGUGUCACUCCCGUGGAAUUCAUCAGAUGGUUCAGGGUGGGUAGGAGUCAAGCUGCGGGUUUGAGUGCGUGAGAUGUAUCCGGGAUAGAGGAUUGUAGAGGAAUUCGAGGAUGAAGUCUAGUUUAAUUGGGGGAUAUUUGUAACACCCGGAGUCCAGGAGACCUAGAAAGGAAAAAAAACAAUAAAUGAAGAGGAACUCGCUAAGUCCAGGGAGGAACUCGAUGAGUAGGAGCAGAUUUUGGGACGCUGGUAAAAUAACCUAGUCGACGAGUUGGAGGACCAACUCGGCGAGUUGGUCGGGGUUUGAGAAACCCUAAAUCUGGGUCUAGUACCCUAUUUAAGCAUCUUAUUCUCCUCCCAUGCAGCCCCCAUCAUUUCCCUUAGUCUAGAAAACCCUAACUCGCGACCCUUGAGCUUUGAUGAGUGUGUGAGUCAUUUUUUAGAGUGUUUGUGUGAUCUUGAAGCUAGAAGAAGAAGAAGAAGAAGAAGAAGAAGAAGAAGGAUCUAGAAGGCUCAAUGAAGCAGUAGAUCCAGGGUUCAAGCUCCAUUUCCAAUCCCUUUAGGGGUAUAAAGUUGCUUCCUUGACUUCCCUAUUGCUAGAUCUCUCCAUGUUUAAGUUUAGGACCAUCUUUUAGCAAUUUGUGAACCUUUUUUUAGUAUGGAGUGUGAUAUAAAGUAGUAACUUUAGAUCUAGAUCCCUUUCAGCCCCUAUAUCCAAAAAGUUCAUGAAUUUAUCCUGCUUUAACCCUUCCCUUUGGCCUAGACUUCAUUUUAGACUUGGAAAUAAUGUUUUGGCUCAUAACACCUUGCAUGCACGUAAAGCUUGUAACUUUGCAUGUAAAAUCAACCCUCGGAGGUCAGAUCUAUGUUUUAGAUGCGUUAAGCCUAACUGAAAUCGACUAUAUGGACUUGGAAUUUAGGGGACUCGACAAGUCGUUCAUAAGACUCGGCGAGUCGGGUCAUGGUUCCCCAACCUUUUCUGUUUUGAAGCAAUCUGAUUGGGUCUGGAAGAGGACUCAACAAGAUGGACGUGAAUAUGGACUUGAAGAUCAAGGAACUCGACGAGUUCAAGGAUGAACUCGAGAAGUUCAAUGUAAUGUCUUGACUGAUAUGAAGAAGAACUCGACGUGUUCAAGAAAGAACUUGGCGAGUCAAGGGCUAUACAUUCCAACUUAUAUGAAGCAGGACUCGACGAGUUCAAGGAUGAACUCGGCAAGUCAUGAGCAAAAAGGCCCCGAUUCUGCAUGAAGAAGAACUCGAUGAGUUCUUCAAAGACUCGACGAGUAGGAUCGAAGUUUCGGUAUUUUGUGGAUUAUGGAACUCGAUGAGUUGGUGGAGCAACUUGGCGAGUUGAGUCUACCAGAUGUUGACUUUGACCAAAAUUUGUCUUUGACCAGGGUGUUGGCCUUGACUUUGACUUUCACCUGAGUUGACCCUUGAAAGGGUUAUGAGCAUGAAAUGGUAAUUAAGGAAGGAUGUUGUGUAGGAGUUUGAGGAGUUUUAAGAGGAGUUGAUCCCAACACCGAGCACAAUUCAGAUACUACACGACAUUGAGGUGAGUUACUAUCAUAUAGAAGUGGGUCUAAGGUACCAAGGUCGGCCCACUAGUAAGAGUUAUAGUAAAGACAAUUUUCUUCAUGAUAAUUGUUUGGUAUGUUGUUAUCAGUUAUAAUUGUGUGCUGGCCUGAUAUGUUCUUAUGUGAUAGUAGGUAGUAGGGGGAUUAGUCCUCGUGUUAUGGUCGUAUGCACCGAAGGGUAGGUCAGGCACCCCUGAUAUGCCUGACAGUAUGUUUAUGCUUUGUUAUUAUGUAGUAGUAGUAGGGGUGAAAUAGUCCCCGUAGCCGGUUGAGAUAAACUGGAGGGUAGGUUGGCACCACAGAAUUGCUAGACAGGGUAGGUCGUCACCCUAGAAUUGCCAGACAGGGUAGGUUAGUACCGUAGAAUUGCCUGAUAGGGAAGGAUGGGCACCCAAGAAUUACCGGACAGUAUGUUAGUUAUGUGGUAUGUGGUAUGAUGGGGGAACUCACUAAGCUUUGUGCUUACGAUUUUUAGUUUUGGUUUCAGGUACUUCGUUUUCAAAGGAAAGGAUCUGGCGAUCGAAGCGCAUCACACUUUGUUUUCCGCACAUGAGAUCUUUGGGAUUACACUCUGGUAUUAUUUUAUGAUAACAUGUUUGACUAUUGACACUUUGGUUUUGACAUGAGAUGUUAUUAUGGAUGUUUUUGUACUAAUUGGUUUUAUGAAUUGUUAAACUAAAAACAAAAUUUUUGGCCUUAAAUUUUGGGAUGUUACACAAGUGGCAAGAAAAUCUAGAUAUUUAAAGAGAAUUCGGCCAAAACUUGGGUGAUUUCGGUCAAGGCAUGGCCGAAAUCACUUAGUACACAACUCCAAUUGUUGAUUUCGGUCCUAUUGGGCCUUAACCAUGUGAUUUCGGUCUUGGUGUCACCAAAGAAAAGGGUGAUUUUGGUCCUAACAUCCUUAAAGGAAUUGAUUUCGGUUCUAGCAUCCUUAAAGUAAGUGAUUUCAGUCCAGAAGUAUUUCCUAGAUUCCCAAAACCGAAAUCCCUAAAUUAAUUUAAAAUUUCAUGCUUUUAGACUUAUCAUUUUGACUUGUGUUGACUCCUUUGAUUCCUUGAUGACUUGUCGACUUUAUUUGACUUUCAAAGGUCCAUUACUACACGUCAUUCAAAGUGUAUAUACAUGUUAACUUAUAUAAACAUGCUCUCAUGGUUUUCAAAUUUCUAUUGCAUCAAGUAUGUUGUGAAUUUACUUUUACAUGGUUAUAAUUUAGACCUUGCUUGCUCUAAAAUUUUCCAGUUGUCAUAUCAUCCCCCCGUUAGAAGGAAUUUCGUCUCGAAAUUAGUUUCAGAGUGGUUACUCAUGAGCUAAGGAAGAGAUUUGGGUACUUUUGUUUCAUCUGAUUUUCUCGUUCCCAAGUGAAUUUAGGUCCUCGUUUGGUGUUCUACCAGACCUGCACUAUUUGUAUAAGACUUUGUUUCGUUCUCUUCAUCUGUCCAUGAUUUCUGUUGGUUCUUCUACGAAGUGUAGACUCUUAUUUACCUUGACUUCAUCGAAUGGAAUUACUAGAGUCUCGUCGAACAAAUACUGUUUUAGAUUGGGCGUGGAAGAUGGGGUGUAUGUUACUAAGUUCCUGCGGUAGUUGAGGUUUUCAAAGAUUUCUGUAACGAUUGUCAAAAACGUGAGCCGAAUUGAUUGUCCCUUAUCUGUGAUAAUUGAUAGCGGUAUACUUUGCAGUCUCACAACUUCCUUGUUGUAUGUUCUUGUCUGUUUUUCUAUUUUAUCUGUUGUUUUGAUCAGUAGGAAGUGUAUGGGUUUGGUUCAUCACUCAAAUGGUUGCGUUUCCACCUGCAGUCCUGGGAAACUCUGCCCUAUAAUUCGUGGUAUAACUCAUACCUGGUUCAUCUAUCAUCGCUUUGUGUAUACAAGUCGUAUAUAAUUAAGAUUGGAAAGACAGUCGGAUAAGUGAUUCAACCUUAUGCCCACAACCAAACAAGGAACGGGAUUUAUGGUGGGAUCACACAUCCUAAGUCUGUAGAAUCCUAAUUAUAUACCACCCUUACGUAUGCACCUAGUAUUGAUAAAGUACCAGCAUGGUUCCUUAGUUUCUACAUGAGUGAUGCGAUUAGUUUGGGUGAGAAGGUAAUUACAACUACUUUUUCCAUAGCAACUGUGUUUUAGGUCGAUUCUUGAACUUGACUUGUUGUUCGAGUGGUAUUCUCAAGAGGUCUCCUGGGAGUACUUCGGAAAGUUUACGGACUUCUGGAAUAUCCCUGAUGUCUCACACUUCUUGUUUCUUGUUCACGACGUAGGUUAGUAAAGCUUGUUACCUCUUGUGUAAGUACUUUUGAGUCUUGACGAAAGGGAUGAUUUGAGAGUUUGAGUCGGGUUGGUCAUCAUAAGUGACGAGGGUUUCAUUAGUUGGUAGGUUAAGGAGAACGGAUUUUUCAUACAUAUGAUAUUGGUACGGUUAGGACUUAACCAAUACGUGCUAGUGAUCACGAUGAAAAUUUUCUAUUGUAACUAUUAUUAGGCCGAUUUGGAAGGAUUUGCUGCUUUAGUGUUUGAGUGCAUCCUAUGUAUAUAUCUUUAGUGUUUUUUAGUUUUUACAUUUUGUUAUUUCUACUAUGAAUAUUUCAUCCCACAAUUUAGUAAUUACAGGUAGUACAAGGGUUUUGCUAAAUUAGUAAUGAAAUCUCAUAGAAUGAUCCCUACCAGGUCCUUUUAUGAUCGCUUGGUGUAUACAAGUCAUAUAUAAUCAAGAUCGAACAGACUGUCGGAUAAGUGAUUCUACUCUAAGCCCACAACCAAACAAGGAAUAGGAUUUAAAAUGGAACCACGAAUCCUAAGUCCAUAGAAUCUUAAUUAUAUAUGACCCUAAUGUAUACAGUAAGCCAUCAUAGAUCAUCCAUAAGGAUCAUUAGUUUUUAUAUGAAUGAUGUGAUUUAUUUGGAAGAGGGGAUAACUUAUGAAUAUGCUUUAUCGCAUUUCGAGAUCAUUGUUUGAUAAGAUCUAAUUGGCACUCGUUUUAGUGAAUAUUAGACGCUUAAAUAUUUCUAUUUGAAAACGUACCAAUAACUACAGUUGGUUCUGGGAGAGUCUCUCCUACAGUGAUCAUCAAUACAGUUGGACACUGCCUUUUGAAAUGCCCCGACUCACCACAAUCGUAGCAGGUACGACUCACUCCAGCAUUGGCGACUUGGGUGAUUUGUUGUGCGGGAGUCCUAUAAAAACAGGCAGCGUGCCCCUUUUUUUUGCAAAUGUUGUAGUACAUUUAUUGGUAGCCUCUAUUGUGAUGGAAGUUGCAUUUUCCGCAUUUGGGUAGGUUGCCAACAUAUUGUCUUAAUGGUGUUGUAGGUGAUUGGUUUUGGUCCUAAGAACAUCCUAUGUGCUCAUACAAACCCUAAUGCUUGGAUCUAGGUUUCUCUAUUGUACAUGCAUGUUAUCCAAGACUAUAAACCCUAAUUCUAGCAUUCAAGUAAUCAUAUUAACAUGAGAAUAGGUUUAAGAUAUUACUUUGAUUGUUAUAUAGCAAUAACAAUCCCAAAUCCUUCUUCUAUUGACUUUAGAAAGCUUAGAGUCACAAAUGUCACUCCUCUAAUGGUUCACAAACACCAAGAGCAAGAGGAUGAGGAGGAGAGAGGAUGGAGGCUUCCCUAAAACGUGUGAAACCCUAGAAGGAUGCUUAGCCACGUUUUUGGGUCAUAAGGGAUGUAUGUAUAGGAGGCUAUUAGGGUUAUCUUAACAAGGAAACCCUAAUUUGGAUGCUUAAGCCCUAAGCAACCCAUAGAUUCCUUUCCUUAAGGCCUUGGAUGAUUUCCUCAUGGGUUUCCCCAUGGAAUUCGUCCACUCCUUAAUAUAAGGCAAUCUAUGGCCCAAAUUGCAAUUAUCUUAUAAUUACAAUUCUAGUCCCUUAAGUUUAAUUAAUCUCUUUUAGUCACAAAACUAAUUACCAAUUAAUUAUUGACUAAUAUUAAUUAAACAAUAUGAUUUCUCCUUUAAUAUAUUAUUCUCAUAGUAUAUUAAUAAAUCAUAUUUAAUCCUUUCUCUCUAUAAUUCAUCCUAUCAAGUUGCUUUGGUGAAGGCAACCCAAAAGGACCAUGCACCAUCGGGUCAAGUACAUACCAAAAUAGUUAUGGACUUAGACACUAAUCCAACAGUAGGGUUAAAUGGCAAUGUGGACACCAAUGAUUUGUUGUUUCUUAGUGGGCUAUCUCUUCCUCUAAGGAGUAUAGGUGGUCCAUAAUGUUUUCCUAAUCUGCUGGUAGGUGUGGCAUCCAUAUGGUGUCCUUGUUCCCCGUAGUUGUGUUAAUUUUUGCACCGUCAUGUUCCGAGCUUUGCUACUGAUCUCCAUUACAUCGUCACAGAGAGUCUAAACCCGAAUUUCCGAUCGGGCCUCUCAUGCUACGAUCAGGAGUAGUGUUUGAUUUGUAUGUGCUAAGGCCCGAAGUAUAGUGUAGUGGGUGUACUUAUAUUGUGGUGAUGUAUCUUGGAAAGAUAGAGGUGAAAGGGUCUUAUGCCUACUCCUAGUAAGGUAAGGUUCCUUAACAAUCUAACGGGCGCCCUUCUCUUCAUCUGAUCUCUUCUCAGGAUCCUUCUCAUAAACUUCUUUUGGUUCUUCUUCAAUUCAUCUAUUGGCUGUAGUGGUAGGGUUACAGUGUCUAGAUAUGCCGUUGGUGCGAGAAUAGGGGUCUAUAAAGAAUCUAUGAGGUUAAUAGAAGCAUUUUUAAUGAAGUUUUUAUGACGUGAUCCUUAACGGGUCCUCCUAUAAUCACAUAGUGUAUACAAGUUGUAUAUAACCAAGAUCGAAUAGACCUUCGAAUAGGUGGUUCCACUCUACGUCCACAACCAAACAAGGAAUAGGAUUUAAAGUGGAAUCAUAAAUUCUAACUCUAUUAAAUCUUAAUUAUAUAUAACUCUAAUGUAUACACUAAACAAUUAUAGACCUACCAGUAAGGGUCUUUAGUUUUCAUAUGAAUUAUCUAUAGUAUCAUAAAAUACUCCUAUAAUAUUUUAAUUUCUUAUGAUUCUAGAAUUUUCUUGGUAUAUAUAGAGCUGGUAAGUUUUAGAUAUGUUGCUCACCACGACUAUUCCCAAGCAUAUGCUAGUCACCCCUCAGAUAAAUAUAGUUGAUGAGGCUAUAUUCAUCUAAGACCUGAUUACAUAUACCAAGGUUUACUCAUAGUGUCCAACUUAUCUUAAUACUUUUAUUUUAUUCUCAUUAUGACACUGCUCUAGUAUGUAUGUAUGUGUGUAUGUAUGUAUACUUCUAUAAAUAUUAUUAUAUUUAAAAGUAUAACUCUUGGUCAGAGUGUUUUAGCCCCAUUGUAUUUAUUGUUGUAUAUCUUAUAUGGUUUGAUAUAUUUAGUUCACUAUAAACAUUGCUCUGAUACCAAUCGGUCACACCCCCAAACCGGAAUGGCGGAAACAUCCGGGGGUGGGUGAUGUCAUGUACAGUAUCAUAACAAUUAAAUAGUAGUAAUCAAGGCAGCACAACCAUCAUACUGAAAAUAUAUAAUUCACAUUUUGUUCGAAUCAUUAUUUGUUUGACACCAAAACUAUAGCCAAAAACUAAGAUGUGACGCUACUAUACUCCUUCUUCUCGAAACCUGUGUGGGUACCUGUCUACUAAUUUUCAAAGAAUACAAGUGGUUUGAAAAAGUGUCAAAAUUUAAGUUGGUGAGUUCAUAAGCAUUUUGUAUGCAAAGGUAUGUUCUUUGUUCAUUGAAAAUAUUAGUGUGUUCUUCCAGAAAAUCCAAUAUUUUCUUUGUAUAAGUGUUGUAGUCUUACUACCUUAAGACCAAAAAGUGUAAGUUUCUUAUGUUUAAAAUUUGUAAUAUGAAGUUCUAAUUUAUAUAAGUGGUGUGACCCAUAUGGGUACCUCUUAUGAUCACUUAGUGUAUACAAGUUAUAUAUAAUCAAGAUCGAACUGACAGUCGGAUGAGUGAUUCUGCCCUAAGCCCACAACCAAACAAGGAACAGGCGGAAUCAUACAUUCUCAUGCGUAUAGGAUCUUAAUUAUAUAUAACCGUGACGUAUAUGCUAAGUAAUCACAAAGUUACCAAUAAUGGUCUUUUCAGAAGUGUAAGUUGCACUAUACUAGAAUAAUAGAGUACUACAAUUGUAUUUGUAUGUAACCCUUUUAUAUGUGUGUUUCUAGGAAUGUAAAUUGUGUUUUAAUGGAAAAUCAUGUAAUGUAGUUUUAUUACUAAGUAAAACUAGUUGAAGAUGUGUUUGCCCCGUAAAAUAAAUGUAAAGUAAGUAACCCUCUAAGACUGUUUGAAAAAAUAUAUUACUCCGUAAAUGUGUCGUUGUUUUCUCCAUGUGAGUUCCUAUAACCAUACUAUGACCCAGUCGGUCUGAUACGACAUUCUUCAGGCGUCAAAAUAUUAACGAUAUUUGUCACCCCAGACUUAUCGGUCCAACUAUAGCUAAUAGUCAGGGUGUGGGAUUGUCGGUACCAUAUAGAUCGAUACACAAAUAUCUCGCUCUCCCUACAAGAGACUCUGGUUAUAAGUCAGGUCUUUUUUCGGUACUUAGGUAAGUACGUGAAGACGUGUCUCACAAAUUUAUUGCUUCAACAAGUUUACGAGUAAUGAAAUGAAAACCCUUAAGAAAUGAAAAUGUAAAAGCCUUUAGUAAAUGAAAAUGUAACUUUUCCAUAGAAAUUUUUGAGUGUAUAAAUAUUGUAAAAUGACCUAUAAACUAUACCUAUUAUAUAGUUUAUAAUGUAUGUUCUUUUGAAAUGACAAACCUUUGAAUUUUAACAGCUUUUUAUGUAAGAGUUUAUAAUUUUUGUAGUAACGUUAUUUAACUUUUUUCCGUAAAGUGUACAUAAAGUAUAAGAAAACAUAAUAAGAGACCUGUAUAUUUACACAAGUAUUCUUGUGUUUUAACUUGUAUUCUCCCCCUAAAACAUAAAAAAAAAGCUUGAAAUGUGGAGGUAUGAACUGACCUCGACUGUGAUCGUGGUUAGAUGACAAGGUAAAAAUGGUGAUCUUCGAGUUAGAACGCUAGAAGGUAGUUGUAUCCUAAUCAUUUUAAACACAUAAUAAUAUGUUAAAAUUAAAUGAACUAUCAUGGUAUUGUGGUUGUAUAACACUAGGUUAUAAGAAAUGCUUACCAAGAUUCUAAAGAAUAACUUUGAAGAAAUAGACUUCCUGGGAUUGUUUUGAACUUGGGGUUGAAAGGAAAAUGGGUUUGUGUUCUGAGAGAUUAUGAAGUGAAGUUUGUUUACUGUAAAUGUGGGUUGAUAGGAUCAUAAUUUGUGACUUAUAUAGGAAGAAAUAAUAUAAGAUGAUGCGAUAUAUGCAUUGGUAAGUGUAAUAUAUCACAUUGGGAAGAGUAUCAACCAAUCAAGUGGCAAGAAAAUCUAGAUAUUUAAAGAGAUUUCGGCCAAAAAAUGGGUGAUUUCGGUCAAGUCAUGACUGAAAUAACUUAGUACACAACUCCAAUUGUUGAUUUCGGUCCUAAUGGACCUUAACAAUGUGUUUUGGGUCUUGGUGUCACCCAGGAAAAGGGUGAUUUCGGUCCUAACAUCCUUAAAGGAAGUGAUUUCGGUUAUAUCAUCCUUAAAGGAAGUGAUUUCGGUCCAGAAGUGUUUCCUAGAUUCCCAAAACCGAAAUCCUAAAGUAAUUUACAAUUUCAUGCUUUUAGACUUAUCAUUUUCACUUAUGUUGACUCCUUUGAUUCCUUUAUGGCUUGUCGACUUUAUUUGACUUUCAAAGAUCCAUUACAACAUGGCAUUCAAAGUGUAUAUAUAUGUUAACUUAUAUAAACAUGCUCUCUUGGUUUUUAAAGUUCUAUUGCAUCAAGUAUUUUGUGAAUUUACUUGUACAAGGUUAGAAUUUAGACCUUGCUUGCUGUAAAAUUUUCUAGUUGACCCAGUAAUAAUACUAGGUUUCGUCGAAGGAAAAUAGAAUCAUUAGAAUCGAAGCGCUGCCCGAGUUUGGAAUCAUCACUUUAAAAGGUGAGUGCAUAGUUACUUUCAUCUUACACAUAGAUAUGAAGUAGUUACUAUUAAUACGUGUUAUAUGUUCUUAUUAUCAAUGUUCCUGAUAUCUAUGCUAGAUGAACGAUUUAUACAUGUUUUGCUUGAUUUAAACAGUAUAUGUAUUUUUAUACCUAUAAAUAUAUUGGGUAAAGAUGAGUAGAUAAAAGAUGAUAUAGAUGAAGAGAGAUGAAAGAUGGUAUAGUAUGAUGAAAGAAAGGAUGUCAUAGUAUGACAAAAGAAGUAGGCAAAUAUAGAAUGCCACGACUUUAGAAUUGUUAUUUUAUCAACGAUGUAGUGACUUAGCAAAGAAUAGGUGACAACUAUCGGACUAAUUAAUGAUAGACCUGUAGAACACUGGCAGCUAUGGACUUAGUGCCCUAUAGGUGAACAUUGGAAGCUACGGACUUAGUGCCUUAUAUAUGAACGUUGGCAGUUGUGGACUUAGUGCCUUAUAAAUGAACAUUGGCAGCUAUGGAUUUAGUGCCAUAUAGAUGGAUAUUGGCAGCUAUGGACUUAGUGUCUAUUAGAUAACAUCGGCAGCUAUGGACUUAGUGUUUGUUAGAUAAACCCUGGCAACGAUGGACUUCGUGCCUAUUCCUUAGGACAAUCCUUAUGAAUGAAUGAAGGAAGAAUAGAUGAUUCUUAGGGUAGAUCCUUAAGAAUAAAGAAGAUAAUAGGGAUGGGAGGUUGGGUUAAUUGUUUGAUGAUUAAACAUAAUAACUACGUUAUUGUGGGUUGAAAACCCUAUGUACUCACCAGGUUUCCCAGCCUGACCCACUCAGUUUAUUUGUAUUACAGGUAUCGAUACGAAGCUACAUUACACUAAGAGAUUAAAGGAGAUGUAAAUCACUACUGUAAAUGAAUGUAAGGUCUGUUUAUGCUAAUGUUUCUGUAUUGACGAUGACAUCCCAAAGUUUUAAUAUAAAUAAAAUACAUUUCUUCAGAAAUGCUUUGAUAAUAUAUUUAUCAUGUUUUCUAGGAAAAAAUUCUACAAUUUUAUUCUUUAAAAUGAAUACACUGAUUUUAAAAUAAGCAUAAAUAAAAUUUUAAAAAUGACCGUGAAUUUAGGGAUGUCACAGUUGGUAUCAUAUCAUUAGUUUAAGCGAACUAGUAAUAAGGAUUUAUUUCUAGAGCUAAACUUAUAAUGCUAAGCGAUGAUCGGGAGGCGUGUGUCUAAUAUAUUUUAGGAAGUACCCUUGACUAGACACGAGAAAUAGCUCAUUUAGGGAAGAUGUCUAAAAAGCUUUUAUGUGCUAAAUGAAUUGUGGUGCUUUGUGAUUCUAUCCUUUGAUCAGAUCUAUGGUCUGUUGUCGACCGGAUCUGGAAACUUUAUGUGUUCAAAUUUCUAAACGUUUAAUUAUGGUAUUAGAUCUGCCAUGUAACUUUUCAGAGUUAUAGGGAGGUUUAUACGUUUGAUUCCCCUAUCUAAAUUAUCGUCGCUGUACACUGAACGUUUAAUUUGUUGUAUAGAUCAAAAUGGUGAGAACUCGGAGCAGAUUAGGAAAUGCAAAUGGAAACCAAUAGCCACAAGUGAUUUACUGUGCACAAGAGGUAGCAGUUGCACCCAAGUUAAUCACGAUGGCUAGAGUCCAAGAAAUGAUUCGGGCUAUGAUGGUUGAAAAAGGGGAGGAGAUGAGGAAAAUAUUGCUUAAUAAGGAUGAACCUACUGUGCCUAUUGUGUAGUCCGAACUAAAUGAAGAACUAUCAUAGGAGGGAAAUUAUAGCCAUAUUGUGAGUCAAGUUAGACCCUAAGUGGUCAGGAGGAAUGACCAGGAUAAAAGGAUUGACAGGGAUGGGCGUAUGUAUAAGAACUUCUUGGGGUGCCAAACCACCAAGUCUUUCUGGAAGCCCAAAUCCAGUGGAAGUUAUGGACUGGAUCUCCGAGAUGGAAAUAGUAUUUGAAAGCUGCAACUGCAGCGAUAAGCAAAAGAAUGUAUUUGCAGUCAGACAACUAAAGACCGAAGUUUUGAGUUGGUGGAAGUUGUUGGCAGAUACAAUGUCACGGGGAGAAACCAUGCGGAUGUCUUGGGAAGCAUUCAUGGAGCAGUUGAAAACGCAAUACUGCUCAUAGAUAGAUCUUAUAGACCUAAACAAUGAGUGAUAGAACCUAAAAAAAGGAAGACGAGUGUUGAUGAGUAUGCCACCGCAUUCACUGAUAGGAUGAAGCUAUUGCCCUACUUGGUGCCUACUACACUUUCCAAGAUAGAUAGAUUUGCUAAUAGACUUUGGCCCAACGGUUAAAAUCUCAACUACUUUGAAGACAGUCGUUAGAGCAACUAAGAAUGUAGAGACCCAUAUAAGAGAAAAGGGUCUAGAAAAAGAUAAGGUGGGAGAAAAGAGGAAAAUGAAGGUAUCCUCAAUAUUUGAUAAAAAGGGAAGAUUCUCAAAGUCCAACCUGGAUGACCAAAAGUAUGGAGCCAAGUGGUGUGAAAAGUGCAAGAAAAAGCAUUAUGGGAGAUGCAACGGACAAGUGACUUGCUACACAUGUAGGAGGAUUGGACACUAUUCCAAGGAUUAUACAUUUAAUGAUAAGGUAUGAUAUCGAUGUGGAAGGAGCAUAUGUCAAAAGAUUGCCUGAAGAAAAAUGAAGCAGCAAGGCUAAAUGUGUCACCAAAGCCGGAGGCAAGAGCAUUCAAGAUGAUCCUUGACGAAGCAGGUGACAAUGAAAGGGUUCUAGAGUGAGGAUCUAUAUAUCCAAAGAUCGAGAUAUGAAGUAGCCAUAUAAAUAGUAUCAUGUGGUGUAGCCUAAUAUAAGAAGCAUAGUGUAGGGUGAACUUGAACAUCUAUGUAAACGUUUCAAGAAAUAAUAUAAACCUUAGUUAUGUUAUCCGAUGUGUUAAAUGACUAUGUGAAAUUCUUGUAUGGUGACUUGUAAAACUGCGAGACAAUACUUGGGAUACGUAUGAGUAGGUGUGAAAGGUAGUAGAGGCCUAUACUAUCGGAAUCACAUGGCUUGCACUUGGAUCAGGGAAAGUCACAAGGUUACCUAGGUAAUAGUAAUUGAUUCUAUUUUGUUCAUGUCCGUCGUUACCAUCAUUUCGGUAAUGACUAAGAAGAUGAUUGUUAUUCCAACCCUAGUGGUCAUAUCAAAUCGAGUCUGACUACGACGAGUAUGUUACGUGGUUCAGAGAACCAAGUUCGAUGUAGCAUCUGACUUAAGCCAGAAGAUCGAAAUGAAAGCGAUCAGUAAAAGUAUCGCGAUCAUUUUUAAAGUAAGAACUUGUAGCUAGAAGUGCUACAUGCUAUAAUGUGAUUAUAUCACACUAGAACAUGAAGGAAGCUAUAUUCCAUUCUGAAAUUUGGCUCUAAAGGACCUGAGUCUAAGCAUUGCAUCAUACGAUGAGAGGUCAUUAGAACAUGACACAUCAUUAUGUUACAAUUAUCGAAGUAAAGUCUAUUUAAGAAGGAGCAAGAGUCUCCAAUAAGGAUCGAUUUUGUAACUCAAAUAUUAUGAUUGAAAGUCCAACAUAGGAUAAAGAGCGGGUUUAAGAUUAAGCACCGCUUGCAAUCAAGGAGUCCAAGACUUAGAUAGUCAUUUGAAGGAACUUAGAAGUUAUGAUUAUUACCUAGGAUGAAGAGAUAACAUAUGGAGUCAUUAUACAAGCCUUGUUUCGUUGAUAAUUCUGGGACAUAAUCAUCCUAAAGGGGAGAUAAUUGUAACGCCCGUAGAUUCGGGCUAGUCAAUUUAGAGACAAUAAACGUCAAAAAAAUGAAUUUUUGAUAGAAUAUUAUUUAGAGUAAAUAAUCUUAAUCAUGUUAUAGUAUGUGUCACAAGGAUUCCAUACAUACAAAUAACACUGAAAUCCGAGUUAUAACGAAAAAGCUAUAACAUGUCGAAGUUUUACGGCAAAACCGACACGACACAUGGAAUCGUAAAAAGUGAGUUUGUGAUAAAAUACUUUUUAGCCUUAGUGAUCUAAAGGAAAUCCGUAGUAUACAUUAAGCCAAUAGUGUGCAUAAAAAGAACGUCCAAACCUGACUUCGUAUGAGGAAGUUAUGAUUUUUAUAAGAUUUAGCAUAGCAUUGCACAGCCCGGAAUUCGAAUUUUAGAUUGACCGAAUUUUAGCCGACACAAUCUAAACAAGAAUCUAAGAUCUCGUUAAUAAGAACUCAAUGAUAAAAAAAAACAGACGAAAACAGAUGUCAGAUGACAAAGUUAUGAAUUUUUAACGGAUUUUAACUGUCUAAGUCUGUUAAAAUAUAACUUUAAAAAUAAAUUCAAAAGUAGCCAAUGGGGUCUAAAUAAAAGUUGUGGAUCAUGUUUCCACCUACACGUGGAUAUGAAGAACGUCAAAAAUGGAGCUUGUAUGCGAAAGUUACGGAUUUUAGAAGAUAAUUAGCUUUCGAAAUAAUCUGUGAGUGACACGUGGCCCAAUCCUGGCCAUUGCUUCCUCCCCACGCCUUGCCACCAGAUGGUGACACUUGGCACUCCACUAGACGAGUUGGAGGCUCAUAACUCACUGAGUUGGGCCAUUUCCCAGCCUAUAAAUAGAGGCGCAAAUCGUCCAUUUCCUUUACACCUCUCCCAUUCAUUCUCUCUCAAACAUCUCUCUAAACCCCUUCCAAGCCUUAGUACUUCCCAAGUGCUAAGAGACAAAUUCUGAAGCGCCAGAAGGCUCGGAAGUUCUGCCCCCUAGAGCCCGGUUCCAAACCAAACCUCCUAGUAAGUGAGUUAUGCUUACCUUACUUUAUGUAUAACCUAUGUUUGAGUUCAAUAUCGUUAUUAUAAACUUAUAAGCAAUAUAUANNNNNNNNNNNNNNNNNNNNNNNNNNNNNNNNNNNNNNNNNNNNNNNNNNNNNNNNNNNNNNNNNNNNNUAUAUAUAUAUAUAAUACAAUAUAAUAUACAAAGUGUUAUUAUAAUAUCUUGUACUACUCGGGAUAUGGCGAAUCUGGUUUGAGGGGCCGCAUAUGGUUGUUGGAUUUCAGAAGUGCUAUAAUUGCAAAAUGAUCCUACCCUCUGGUGUUUCAUGUCUGUCCCCUGUCUGUACAUAGUGGUUAAAAAGGAUUGUUUAACACUUAUAAAACAAUAUCGCUCGUAAAUAGUCUCAAAAAAUAUUAGACUAAAAUCUAGUGGUAAUAAUACUAGGUUUCGUUGAAGGAAAAUAUAAUCGUUAGAAGCGAAGCGCUACCCGAGUUUGGAAUCAUCACUUUAAAAAGUGAGUGCAUAGUUACUUUCAUAUUACACAUAGAUAUGAAGUAGUUAAUAUUAAUAUGUGCUAUAUGUGCUUAUUAUAUGUGUUCCUGAUAUCUAUGCUAGAUGAACGAUUUAUACAUGUUUACUUGAUUUAAAUUGUAUAUGUAUUUUUGUACCUAUAAAUAUAUUGGGUAAAGAUGGGUAUAUGAAACACGAUAUAGAUGAAGAGAGAUGAAAGAUGGUAUAGUAAGAUGAAAGAUGGGACAUCAAAGUAUGACAAAAGAAGUAGGAAAAGAUAGAAUGCCAAGAAUUUGGAAUUAUUAUUUUACCAACAAUGUAGUCACUUACCAAAGUAUAGGCGACAACUACCAGACUAAUUGAUGAUAGUCCCGUAGAACACUGACAGCUAUAGACUUAGUGCCCUAUAGGUGAACAUUGGCAGCUAUGGACUUACUACCUUAUAUAUGAAUGUUGGAUGCUAUGGAAUUAGUGCCAUGCAAAUAAAUGUUGGCAACUAUGGAUUUAGUGCCCUCUAGAUGGACAAUGGCAGCUAUGGACUUAGUGUCUAUCAGAUAACAUCGGUAGUUGUGGACUUAGUGUCUGUUAGAUAAACCCUGGCAACAAUGGGCUUUGCACCUAUUCCUUAGGAUAAUCCUUAUGAAUGAAUGAAGGAAGAAUAGAUGAUUCUUAGGGUAGAUCCUUAAGAAUAAAGAAGAUAAUGGGAUGGGAAGUGGGGUUACUUGUUUCAUGAUUAAACAUAACAACUAUAUUAUUGUGGGUUGAAAAAUCUAUGUACUCACCAAGUUUCCCAACCUAACCCACUCAGUUUAUUUUUAUCACAGGUAUCGAUACAUAGCAACAUUACACUAAGAGAUUAGGGGAGAUGUAAAUCACUAGUGUAAAUGAAUGUAAGGUAUGUUUAUGAUUAUGUGUUUGUAUUCACAAUGACAUCCCACAGUUUUAAUAUAAAAAAAGACAUUUCUUUGGAAAUGUUUUGAUAAUAUAUUAAUCAUGUUUUCUGGGAACAAAUUCCGCAAUAUUAUUCUUUAAAAUGAAUAUUUUGAUUUUCAAAUAAGGAUAAAUAAAAAUUUUAAAAUGACCGUGAAUUUGGAGAUGUCACAAUAUCGAUGAUGAAUUUGUAUAUUUACUAAGAGAGAUUUGAGAAUCGGUUUGUGUUGGGCAUUUCUAGCAGCAACAUAUGACCUUUUUAUGUUUAUAUAUAAUAUUUGAAAUGUUUGGCUUUUUAUUGUUGAUUCAAUGACUAUUGACUAAUCAAUAUUUUUUAUGUGGGACAUAAUACUCUCACUAAGCCAAUGUUUCUUCAGGAUACACACAAUGGAAUCCUCUCUCAAAUACCGGUGUAGCCUGAGUCUGGUAACAAAAUUCAUUAUCCAUAAUCCCCCACUAGUUCUUUUCUUUAACUUUACAUAUCUCGCUGGCUUUAUGUGUUCUUCUACUCCUUCCAUACGUUGUUGUUAUAUAUAGAUUUGGCAGAAGUCUAUUUUGGUAUUCUGUGGUUCAAACAUUUCAUUUUUCUCUCCUAACUCAUUUUCAUGUUUGGAUUUUUACUGAAUGGUGGUAGGGGAAGGAAGAAAGCAUGAUUUUAGUGUUGCAAAAUUUGAUAAUUAGACAGUAAUGCUAUGUCAUCAGCUAGGUAAAAUGUAAUUUAUUUUUCUAUGUUAACUUAAUAUAGAGUAUUUAUUUGUGUUUUCGAUAUUAGUGUUGUUUGUUUCGUGUUUGAGAAAGAGUACCAUGUUAGCUAUUAUGAGAAUUCUGAAUUUCUAACUUUGUAUUCGAAUUCUUAGUUUUGACCUAUAUUUGAUUUCCAUCUUGAUUUUCUACUCUAAAAUUAAAAUGAUCAAGAAUUUGACGAUUUUGCCCUUCUUUUUUCGUUUUUUUGAUAUCUGAUUUUCAAGGAGAUUUGUGCCAAAAUUGUUGCUGCUAGAGUAUGUGUCACAACCCAAAACCGAAAUGGUGGAAACGUUCGGGGGUGGAGGACGUCAUGUACAAUACCAUAACAAUGCAAAUUAGUAAACAAUCAUCAACAUCAUCCAUUGCAUUAAUAGUAUAAUUUGAUACAAGAGUGUUCUUUAUAUAGAAUAAGACACCAAAAAUGUAUAAUCAAAAUAAAGACGAGUCUUGAACAUGCUCCGUCUUCUCAAAACCUGGUCAUCGAUACCUAUUUACAGGUGACCAGAGAAUACAAGUUAUUUUGAAAGCGUAGAUCUGCAUUUAAGCUUAUCAGUUCAUACAUAUUUAGUGUCAAUGUUUGUAUAAGUUUGCUAAAAGUGUUUAUAAAUGUUCAAUGUAAAAGUUUGUAUAUGUUUGAAAGCUCCAAGAAGAUCCUAUAUUUUCUACUAGUAUAAAAAGUAGUCUUUUACAAAGACCCGACUGUUUCGUAUGUUUGUUUCUCUGUAAAAGUGAAUGUUUUUCCCAAAUAUCACUAUCAUUACCAAAAUAUAGUUUUACAUUACCGUUUAUGUGAGAAGAUCACAAUUUGAAUGUAAUGGGAAAAUGUAUGUGUACUGUAGUAUUAUAUGUAGUAACUACUGUAGUAAUAACUACCUUAAAACCAAUAGUUUAUUUAAGGUAAAAUGUGAUGAGGUUGUUACCAUGCUAAACUGACUAUAACACGACGAUGAAAGACAUCGGAAGAAAUGACAUUUGGCACCCGUAGACUUGCCAGUCCCACUGUAGCGAACAUCAAAGUGUAGGAUAGUCAAUCAAGUAUAGAUCUAUACACAAACUCACGCUCUCCCUCAAGGAGAUUUUGUUUACAAAACAUGACACAACAAAAUGGUUGUUGUGUCAUGAAGUAGUAUCUCACAUUAAGUUAUCUUGAAUCUUGUUAUAGUAUACUUGUUAUAGUAAUAGUAUUCUCUAUAUAGUAUUCUCUUUAUAGUGUUCUCUGUUAUAGUAUUCUCUGUCUAGUAUUCUUUGUUAUAGUAUUUGUAUAGUGAUAUUAUUCUCCUAAACUAUACCUUUUAUAGUUUACUAGUAAUUCCUGUAGUUUGAAGGAAUGAAUGUAUACCUUUGCUACCUAAAGGUACAUAACUGAUUGAUAGUACUUUUAUAUCUACAUAUAUAUACAUAAUAUAUAACUAAUAUUUAGAUGACAUUUGGACAAAUAACCGAUACCCUAAGUCCACAUCCAAACAAGGAAAAGGAAAUAAAGUGAGUCAUCAGUCCUAAGUCCUUUAAACAUUACGUACAUAACUAUACAUAUGUAGACAUGCUUUUGACAAUAUAUAUAAGUUUAAAAAGAAGUUUUGUAAUACAUUUGAUGAGUUUAACAGUUUGAACAAAAUAUUGAUGACUUGAUGUCAGUUUAUAAAACGAUUUAGAAGUAGUUUAUUUGAUAAGACAGUUUGAAGUAUAAGAAAUCCUUUGUUUGAAACACAGUUUGAAGUAUAUGAAAUCCUUUGUUUGAAACACAGUUUUAAAUCACAUGUGAUUGAUUAUAUAACCAACAUGUUUUCUACUUGUAUUCCCCCCAUAAAAGCAUUUAAAAUCAUUUAAAAGAUAAGUUAAGGGGCAUGAACUCACCUGUAAUGAGUAACUUUAAUGUAAGAUCGAUAAAGGAUGCUAAGUGUCAAGUGAAGGCUUGAGCACACACGGAUCCUAUUUAGCAUAUAAUGACACAUAUAUGUAUACAAUUAGUGUUUAUACAACUAAUCAUGUGAGGGAAACACCUUAGGGACUAAGAAACACUUGAAUUGAAGUGUUACAAUCACAUAUGAUCGCAUAUAAGGGGUGUAUGGCUACACAUUGGUGUUUACGACAAAGUGGUAUGUUUCUAGUAGUUUACGGCCAUAGGGUUUACGGCCCUAUGAGUUUGUGGCCGUAAAAUCAUGACACAUAGUACCAAAAAUGUGUGUUAAGGUCUUAAUUACAUCAUGGUAGUGUUCUAGGUCACAAGCUUAGCUCUUAGAAAAGUUUAUGGCCAAAACGGCACCAUUAUAAGGGUUUACGGCCAAGGGAGAUGCUCUUAGCCUUGAGCUCCUAUUGUUCUUGGGAAAUGAUUGUUUUCAAGGUGCAAAUUAAGUGCUUUAACUAGAUAACAAGUAUAGGGAAAGGAUACUUACGAUAUAGAAGCUUGAAAGGGUGACUAAGAUCCAAAAACUUAGUGUGUGUUCUUGGUGUUCUUGAAGAUCUAACCAAAAAGUGGUAGUUUUCAUUUAUGAUGUAACAACCCGUCAUUUUAGGUCCUUGAAAUUCGAGUCUUGUAUCCUCUUUGAAAAAGUAAUUAGAAUAUCAUCGAAAAAUGAAGUAUUCAAAGGCUCUGUUUGAAGUACGUUAUGUAAUAGAUAUCGUCUUAAGGAUUCCAAGCAUAUAAAGAACACUAAAAUCCGAGUUAUAACGAAGAAGUUAUGACCAUUCUAAGUUUUCCGACAAAAAUCGGCAAUACGAAGUUACGUGAAAACUCGAAUCGGAGAUUGAGCGACUUUUGGCCGGAAUGACCUAAACGAGAAUCGAAGGUCUCGACAAUGGUAUUUCAGCGGUAAAAAGUCUGGCAAAAACCGACGUCAGAUAAAGAAGUUAUGAAUUUUUAAAGAAAUUCCUUAAUCACGUCAUUUUAAUAAAUAAAUAAUAAAAAUAAUUUCAUAAAUUGCCAACAGAAUCUAAACAAAAGUUGUAGAUCUUAGUCUCACCUACGCGUGGAUAUAAAGAACGUCGAAAACGGAGUUCGUAUGAAGGAGAUAUGAAUUUUAGAAGUUUAUUUAAAAUAAAUAUAAAUUUAAAUAUAAACCCUUAGUAAUAUCCGAAGAGGAGUCAGCGGAUAGGACCAAGGUACGCCCCGCGUACUCAAAUCAAGGGCUCCGGAUUGUCCACGUCGCUCCAAUGUUUCUUCCGAGGAUGCGGUAAGCCAUGACGUCUCGUAUGCCCUGCGUACGAGCGUACGCCCCGCGUACGCGAGGCUUCCAGACCCUAUAAAAGGGGUGCGAGGGUUUCCGAAAAACUUGCUCAUUUUUUCUCCUUUCUCUUGUGUUUUGCCUCGUUUUCCGUGCCCGUUCAAACCCGAAGCCCUGGUCAUUUUGCUCAAGUCCCGAAGGUCGAUUUUACUCCCGAGAUUCCCGAGAAUCCCGAGAAAAAUCCGUUUCCCGAGAUGAAACUCUGCCCGGUUUUCCAUCUCGCUAUCUUCAAACUUCCAAGUGAGUUCAUACCCCUACAAACACACUUUAAAUACAUUUUAAAUGCUUUUUAUACUCUUUAAGGGGGGAUACAAGUAAACAUACGGUUAUUAUCGUGUAUUUCAUAAAAUUUCACUUUACUCGUUUUUAUCAAAUGAAUCACUUGUGAUUUAGUUCUACUAUGUGAAAACUCUUGUCAUACUUUGCAUGCAAUAGAUUUAUACAAAGUAUUUAGUAAUUCCCAAGUAUCCUUCGUUGCUAAACCAUUUUAUACAUUCUAAAAACUUAUGAUUUAUGUUUUGUCAAACAUUGUGAAAAAGGAUAAACUUUGCAUACAAAACUAUCACUUUAAUACAGACUUAGUUGAGAAUCCAUGAGACGUGUACAUCUUCAAACACUGCCUUUUAUCAAAAAGGUAUCGCUAUAAGUCCUGUUUAUAACCAGAGUCUCCCGUUCGGAGAACGUGUCAAAUGUGUAUAGAUCUAUACGGGAAGUCAUGAUCCCGCGCCCUGACUGUUAGCUACAGUCCGUCUUUUGGGGUGACAGUUUGUCAUAACGCUACGACGCCUGAAGAACGUCGCUACAGGCAUAUUAUGUUUAGUAUGGUUAUAAAACUCAUCGGAUAUACAAUUAUUAUGGUAUUAUGCUUUUAUGAAAGAGUAGCUAUUAAAACUAUUCUUCAUCUAACAACUACGAUCUUCGUAUAGCUUUAUUAUAUAAAACUAUGCCACUCCUUUCAAGCACGUCGGUUGCUUGCGAUUUUCGGUCUUAGAGACUGCCAGUUAUGUUAUGAAAAUAAGGGUUUUUCCUGUAUACAAACCAAACAACUAAUAGGAAAAUAAGGGAUUUUCUCGGUACAAUUAGUUGCAACUUAUAUCACGAACAUUCAUAUGCAUUUCAUACUUUUAUAAGAAAAUAAGGGAUUUUCUUGGAAAAUAUACACUCAUUUUGGAAUGGCAUUCAAUGCUUCUAAAUCACUUAUGAACUCACCAACUUAAUUGUUGACACUUUUUCUUUGAAAUAACUUGUAUUCUCAGGGAAUCGUUAAGUAGGUUUGGAAAUCAACUUUUGGGGAAUAACGCGCUGGCAUUAUUUACUUCUUUUGAAAGAUGUUUAUGCAUUUAUCUUUUGAGCAUGUAAUGAAUACAAUGAUGUAAACAUUUUUAAAACCUUUAUAUAUGUAUGGUGGUGUGUACUUUCCUUUCUAUGAACUGUUAUGAUACUGAAUAUGACGUCCUCCGCCCCCGAACGUUUCCGCCGUUCUGGUUUGGGGGUGUGACAUAUGAAAACAUGGAUCUUCACUAGUUAUAGCAAUGAAUCAACUAACAAUGGAAGGAAUGCUUACAUUUUUGAAGAUCAAAGUGAAGAACUCGAUGAUACUUGAGAGAGAAUUCGGGUUUCUAGACUUGAAAUGGUAAGAAAUGAGGAAAAGUGAUGGAAAAUCAUGUAUAUAACAUGAGUUUAUGGCCAACAUGAGUUUACGGUCGUAAACUCAUGGUGGUGUGGCCGUAAAAUCCACAUGAUGGGGUUUAAAGCUCUAUUAGUGCACAAUGGACUCAAGCAGAUACUUCCUAACACCCGAUCCUUGAAUGUACUAUGCUUAGAACACUCAAACAGACCCUAAAGAGUGCUAAAUGAUAGCAGAAACAAGUCUGACUUGGAUUGAAUUGAUUGAUUGUACAAGAUAGAAAUUUCAGGUUGUCGCAUCAUCCCCCCGUUAGAGAGAAUUUCGUCCCGAAAUUAGAGUUGAAGCAAUUAAGUAGUUAGAAAUAACUAAUUAAAAAGAUGAAGAUAUUUUAGUUUCAUCUGAUCCUCGCGCUCCCAAGUGAAUUCAGGUCCUCGCUUGGCAUUCCAGCGAACCUUCACUAUCGGGAUACGGCUUUGGUUCGUUUGCUUGACCUCACAGUCCAUGAUCUCUACUGGUUCUUCCAUGAAGUUUAGGCUCUCGUUGAUCUCGAUCUCGUCGAGUGGGACUACAUGAGUCUUGUCGGACGGAAAUUUUUUUCAAGUUCGAGACAUGGAAAGUAGAAUGUACGUUAUUGAGUUCACGAAGUAGAUUGAGUUUGUAAGCUAUAGGGCCGAUUCUAGCGAGAAUAUCGAAUGGCCCUACGUUUCUUGGAUUUAGCUUCCCACGCUUUCCGAAGCGUAUCAAGCCCUUCCAAGGUGAGACUUUCAAUAGAAUGCGGUCUCCCACCUGGAAUUCCGAAGGUUUCCUUCUUUUGUCAGCGUAGCUUUUCUGUCGGUCUCUAAAGGCUUUCAAUCGUUCACAAAUCUGAAAGAACUUCUCUAUUGUUUCCCCGAUGAUCUCCAGACCUGUGAGAGUGCUAUCAGGAACUCGUCCUUUAGCUAACUGGGUGUCACCCACCUCAGCCCAGCAAAGAGGAGAUCUACACUUACGGCCAUAGAUGGCUUCGAAUGGAGCAGCCUUUAUGCUCGUGCGACAACUGUUGUUGUAGGAAAAUUUGACAAGGGGUAAAUGAGUAUCCCAUGCCUUUCCAAAGUCAAUCACACAGGCUCUCAACAUAUCUUCCAAAGUUUGUAUAGUCCUCUCACUUUGCCCGUCGGUUUGCGGAUGGUAGGCUGUACUCACGUCCAGCCUAGUUCCUAGGGAACUUUGUAGCGACUGCCAGAACCUUGAAGUGAAUCUACUAUCUCUAUCAGAGAUAAUGGAUAUGGGAACCCCACGCAGUUGUAAGAUUUCCCUAAUGUAAGUUCUAGUCAGUUUCUCCAUCUUGUCCGUCUCCUUGAUUGGUAGAAAAUGCGCAGAUUUGGUCAAUUUUUCGAUGAUUACCCAAAUGGUAUCAAGUCCACCCGUUGUCUUGGGCAACUCAGUUAUGAAGUCUAUACUAAUCCGCUCCCAUUUCCACUCCAGUGUCUUCGGUUUCUGUAGUAAAUCUGAGGGUUUCAGGUACUCGACCUUAACCUUUGCGCAAGUAAGACAUUUACUCACGAAGGUAGCAAUAUCUGCUUUCAUGUUAGGCCACCACUAUAGUUUCUUAAGAUCCAAAUACAUCUUAUUUGAACCUGGGUGUACGGAAUAUCUAGUGUUGUGCACUUCAAUCAUGACCAAGUCUCUAAAAUCACCGUGUUUCGGUGUCCAGAUACGAUCCAUGAGAUACAAGGCUCUGCCACCCUUGAUUUCCAAGUUUUUAUCCAUCCCUCUCAGGGAUUCACCCGCCACAUUUUCAGGUUUCAAGGCUUCUAGUUGAGCCUCCUUAAUUAGUGUGGACAAGUGUGAAUGGAUAGUCAUAGUCAAAGAUUUGACUCUCUGACCAGAGUAGUCUUUCCGACUUAGGGCGUCAGCUACCACAUUGGCUUUACCGGGAUGAUAAUGAAUUUCGCAUUCGUAGUCGUUGAGUAGCUCGACCCACCGUCGUUGUCGCAUAUUGAGCUCCUUCUGAUCGAAUAUGUGUUGAAGGCUCUUGUGCUCUGUGAAGAUAGUGCUCUGUACCAUACCGGUAGUGUCUCUAGAUCUUUAGAGCAAAUACCACUGCUCCUAACUCAAUAUCGUGUGUUGUAUAGUUGACUUCGUGUGUCUUUAGUUGACGGGAGACAUAGGCAAUGACCUUUCCUCUUUGCAUAAGAACACAACCAAGCUCUUGGUUGGAUGCAUCGCAAUACACAACGAAAUCUUCUAUCCCUUCUGGGAGGGAUAAUAUCGGUGUGGUGCACAACGCUUGUUUCAGUGUUUGGAAUGCCUUCUCUUGUUUCUCUUCCCAGUCAAAGGCCACUCCUUUUUGGUUCAAUGUAGUAAGCGGUUUCGCGAUGCUAGAAAAGUUUUGUAUUAACCUGCUAUAAUAGCCAGCGAGACCUAGAAAUUAACGAAUUCAUGUUGGUGUUUUCAGUGCUGACUAGUUCUCAAUGGCCUUGAUUUUUGAUGGGUCCACGUGAAUUCCCUUUUCGCUAACAACGUGGCCCAAGAAUUCGACUCUUCGAAUCCAAAACUCGCACUUAGAGAACUUCACAUAGAGCUUCUCCAAUCGUAAUGCUUCUAAGACUCUGCGUAGGUGUUGACUAUGCUCCUCCUUACUUCGGGAGUAGAUAAGUAUGUCAACGAUGAAGACAAUGACGAACUGAUCCAAGUAAGGACGACACACCCUAUUCAUUAGAUCCAUGAAUACAGUCGGUGCAUUGGUCAAUCUGAACAGUAUCACUACAAACUCGUAGUGUCCAUAACGAGUUCGGAAGGCUGUCUUGGGGACAUCCUCCUCUAGCACUCGUAACUGGUGAUACACGGAUCCUAGAUCUGUCUUCGAGAAGUAGUUCGCUCCCUGAAGUUGAUCAAAUAAGUCGUCAAUUCGAGGUAGAGGGUAACGAUUCCUGAGAGUAAGUUUGUUCAGCUCUUUGUAGUCGAUGCACAUACGAAACAAUCUGUCUUUCUUCUUUACGAACAAGGCCUGUGCUCCCCAUGGUGAGAAGCUUGGUCUAAUGAAUCCCUUUCUGAGAAGUUCGUUAAGCUGACUGGAAAGUUCCUGCAUCUCUGUUGGUUCUAGAUGAUAAGGCGAUUUGGCUAUUGGGGUAGCCUCUGGGACUAAGUCGAUUCGGAACUCGACUUGACGAUGUGGUGGUAAUCUCGGUAGUUCUUCUGGAAAGAUGUCGGGAAAGUCGUGUACUUUUGGAAUGUUCUGAAUGUCUUUCACUUCUUGGCUCGUAUCGACGAUGUGUGCAAGGAAUGCAUGAUAUUCCUUUCGUAAGCACUUCUGAGCUUGAAUACACGAGAUGAUGCGAAGGUUUGUACUUGAUUUUUUGCCAUAGAUAACUAGAGUUUCGUUGUUAGGGAGGUUAAGGCAAACUGCUUUCUCAAAGCACAUGAUGUCAGUGCAAAGAAGACUCAAUGAAUCCAUGUCGAUUAUAACGUCGAAACUUUUAAUUAAGAUCGGCAUGAGUUCGAUUUGGAAAGAAUGGCCAUCUAGAGUUAAAGUACAACCUAUGUAUAUGCAGUUAGUGCUUUUCGUUUUCCCGUUUUCCAUUUCUACAGUGAAUGAUUCCUCUAGUGCACGUGGUUUUUGUUUGAGUAAGUAAGAAAAUUUCUUGUUCGCGAAACUCCUCUCCGUUCCACUAUCAAAUAGUACGCAAAAAUAUGAAUUAAUGAGGAGAAACUUACCAGUAACUACCAUAGGAUCAGCUACGGCUUCCUCGUGGCCUAUCACCAGAAUUCUUCCCACUCUGCCAGCAUUUCCUGCCUUCGGGUAGUCUCUUUUAAAAUGACCAACCUCGCCACAACUGUAGCAAGCCUAGCCCACAACAAUGUCAGGGACUUGGUUAAUUGGCCUCGCCGGAGCCUUGCAGAAACGGGUAGUGUGCCCCCCUCCUGUUGCAGUUAGCACACUGCAUUUCCCGACAGGCACUAUUAUGAUGGAAAGUGCAUUUGUUGCACUUGGGCAAAUUCCCAGUAUACUGCUUCCUCGAUGCAGUAGCAGUAGGUGCAAUCGCGUCAUGAACAACCACAACUUGUUGCUUCUUGGCAGAGUUCUACCCCAAUUUGCCCUUCUUGUUAUCCUAGAACGUUCGCUUGUUGUCAGCGGCUUUGGAGGACUCUGAGAUAGCUAGGGCUGUUUUCGUUGUCGGGGUGGGGACUCCGUGAUCAAUGAGUCGUUGUGCCAUUCGCUUGGCAAUGUCGAAAGUUGUGGGGUUUGAAGCUAAGACAUUCCCCUGAAAUGGAGGCACCAACCCAAAAAUAUACCUCUCGAUCUUCUUUCCCUCAGUGGGAACCAUAUUGGGACAUAGUGCCACCAGAUUGUUGAAUCUGGUAGUUUAAGCCACUAUGUUGGAGCCCUUCAUGGUCAGGCUCUAGAGUUCUUAUUCUAGUUUCUGAACCUCGCCCCUCGGGCAAUAUUCUUGUAUCAUAACCCUUUAAGAGCUUCCCAUCUCAUAACAUUCGCCACUAUUAAAGUAAGUGACUUGACAUGGUUAUUCCACCAUGUCAGGUCUCUAUCACCAAAGUUGCAUACAACAAAUUUUACUUUGCUUCCUUCAGUACAGGAACAAAUCUCAAAGAUCUAUUCCGUCUUCUCGAACCAUUGCGACAGAGCAAUGAUUCCACCGAUUCCAUUGAAGACUCUAGGUUUACAGUUGGUGAAGUCUUUAUAACGGCAAUCUCGCGAGCACACAACAACAUAGCCUUGUGUGGAAUGAACGAUUGUUCCACCUCCACUAGUACCUUGUUUGUUGGUGUAUUGAGCCAUGGCCAUCGCAACAGCCGCAGCCACCGCAACAUUAAGAGCUGCCGUAUCGAAUUGUGGAGGAGGUGGUGUUUGAGUUGGAAUAAUCGGAGGAUUAUGCCUUGUUGAUUUGCGAGGAGGCAUCUUUCAAAUAUAAGUUUAAAAUAUGAGUACAAUGAUAAGAAUCCAAUAGUGAAGUUAAUGAAUGAGUCUCAUGAACUAAAUAGCCAUAGUUCAACAACUAGAUAAGAGUGUGAGUUCUAUAGAGUUCUAGAAUCAGAAAAAUGAAAGUAUUUGAACAAAGAUUUCCACAAGAGAUUAGUUGACUACCAAUAUCAUUGAUGUUAACGAUGUAAUAAGUUUGGGAAAAUUUACCUAAGAGUAGGUCUUACAUCAUAUCAGAAGUAGGAAAAUUGUGGCAGUUCAAAGACCUAAUCGACUGAAAGUUCGAGGUCUUAACACAAAUGGAAAAUUUAAUACUAGCAUCUAUACAUAGACCUAAGUUAUACCCAAAAGAUAGAGUAGAACACAGUCUACUUCCUGCUAGAUCCUGAUUUGGAUUUAGACAGACGGUGUUCUAGUUCGUAAAAACGCCUAUCCUGUACCAACAGACGAUCUCGCAACACUUGAACUUCGGGUUGGGAUGCCGCUAGUUCGCCAGUCAAGAAGUUAGUAUGAUCUCUUAUCGCGCCAUGUUGGUCUUCCAAAUUACGAAGACGAACAGUGUCGACUCCAGCGAUAGCUUCGCUCUGCAUCAGACGAUUGCUAGUAACCCUUCCAUGUUCGGUAUUACGAGCAAUAUGACGAACCAGCAUGGGAAGUGCUCUAUCUGCUGACCCUCCAGAUUCUAAAUUGUAGAAGCUUCGGUCUCCUUGGUAAGGGUGAUUCUGACCUUGUUCAUUGCUCCACCUGUCUAUGCUUAUGGCCCAUAGAGGUGUCGGACCUAGAAAAGCCGGAUGAGGGUUAGGAUUUGGGAUUUGGGCCGCAGGUGGUAGAUUCUCGACUUCGGGUUCGGAUUCAAGAUCCUCGGGGAAAUCUUUUGUGAAUUCAUCAUCUAAAGCAAUCGCAUGCUCUUCUUCUAUUUCGGCGUCAAGCCAACCAUCGUUUCCUUGCUUUGGGAAGUACGGAUCACCAAGGAGAUUAAAUCCAGCCAUUUAUCUAGACGAGAAAUAAAGGUAAAGAAUUUAUUUAACAAUUCUAAAAUAAAGAGAUAAACAAAUAAAAGUUUCUGUAAGAGAAACUUACUUAUAAUCCUAAUAUGACUCUUACUGGUUCCUUCUAUGAGAACAUAAUGCAUACCAAUUAUAUACUACUUGGGUUGAAUAGUCCUUCGAAUAAGUGAUCCUGCUCUAAGUCCACAUCCAAACAAGGAAAAGGAAAUAAAGCUUAGACCACAUAUUCUUAGUCUAUGAAACCUAAUUGUAUAUAAUCAUAAUGUAUGCACUUAGUACUCAUAGAACUAUCAGCAAAAGCCUUUUGUUCUUAUGAAGUUUGUUCUUUGAAUGAAUAGUGCCUAAAAUACUCCUAUAGUAUUUUACCUUAUGUUUUGUUCUCAUGUUCUUCUAUAUAUGAAGAUGUAUAUGUAUUGUUUGGUAAGUUUUAGAAAUGUCGCAACACCACCAUCACUCCCAAACACACGUUCACCAUAUCUCAAACGAAUAUAGUUGAUCAAGCUAUAUUGAUCUGAGAUAUGAUUACAUAACUGCCCAUGUUUGACUGUAGUAUCGAACAUCUAAUUACAUUUGUUAUGUUCUAGUAUGACACUGUUCGGUAGUAAGUAUGUAGGUAUGUAAUUAUGUAUACUUUUAGUUAAGUAUUUUAGUACUUAAAAAGUUUAAAUUCUUGGUCAGAGUAUUUUAAUCCCAAUGUGUUUAUAGUUUGUAUAUCUUUUAUGGGUUGAUAUACUCGAUUCACUAUAAACAAUGCUUUGAUACCAAUCUAUCACACCCUAAAACUGGAACGGUGGAAAUGUUCGGGGGCGGAGGACGUCAUGUACAGUAUCAUAACAAUGCAAAGUAGUAAACAAGAAACAACAUCAUCCACUACAUUAAUCGUAUAAUUUCAUACAAGUGUGUUCUUUAUAUAGAAUAAGACACCAAAAAUGCAUAAUCAAAAUAAAAACGAGUCUUGAACAUGCUCCGUCUUCUCAAAACCUGGUCAUCGCUAUCUGUCUACUGGUGACUUGAGAAUACAAGUUAUUAUGAAAGCAUAGAUCAGCAUUUAAGCUGGUGAGUUCAUAAGUAUUUAGUGUCAAUGUUUGUAUAAGUUUGCUGAAAGUGUUUGUAAAUGUUUGUAUGUGUUUGAAAGCUCCUACAAAAUCCUAUAUUUUCUACUAGUAUAAAAAGUAGUCUUCUACCAAGACCCGGCUGUUUUGUAUGUUUUUCUCUAUAAAAGUGAAUGUUUUUCCCAAGUAUGACUAUCAUUACCAAAAUAUAGUUUUACAUUACCGUUUAUGUGAGAAGAUCACAAUUUAAAUGUAAUAGGAAAAUGUAUGUGUACUGCAGUAUUAUAUGUAGUAACUACUAUAGUAAUAACUACCUUAAAACCAAUGGUUUAUUUAAGGUAAAAUGUGAUUAGGUUGUUACCAUACUAAACCGACUAUAACACGAUGAUGAAAGACUUCGGAAGAAAUGACAUUUGGCACCCGUAGACUUGCAAGUCCCACUGUAGCGAACAACAAGGUGUAGGAUAGUCAAUCCAGUAUAGAUAUAUACACAAACUCAUGCUUUCCCUCUAGGAGAUUCUGGUUACAAAAAUGAGACAACCAAAUGGUUGUUGUGUCAUGAACUAGUAUCUCACAUUAAGUUAUCUUGAAUCUUGUUAUAGUAUACUUCUUAUGGUAAUAGUAUUCUCUGUAUAGUAUUCUCUGUUAUAAUAUUAUUUGUAUAGUAUUCUCUGUUAUAGUAUUCUUUGUUCUAGUAUUCUCUGUCUAGUAUUCUUUGUUAUAGUAUUUGUAUAGUGAUAGUAUUCUCCUAAACUAUACCUAUUAUAGUUUACUAGUAAUUUCUGUAGUUUGAAUGAAUAAAUGCAUACCUUUGCUACCUAAAGGUACUGAACCGAUUGAUAGUACUUUUAUAUCUACAUAAAUAGACAUAAUAUAUAACUAAUAUUAAAUGACAUUCAGACAAAUAACCGAUACCCUAAGUCCACAUCCAAAUAAGGAAAAGGAAAUAAAGCGAGGCAUUGGUCCUAAGUACUUUAAACAUUAUUUACAUAACUAUACAUAUAUAGACAUGCUUUUGACAAUAUAUAUAAGUUUAAAAAGAAGUUUUGUAAUACAUUUGAAGAGUUUAACAGUUUAAAUAAAUAUUGAUGAUUGAUGUCAGUUUAUAAAACGAUUUAAAAGCAUUUUUUUGAUAAGACAGUUUGAAGUAUAUGAAAUCCUUUGUUUGAAACACAGUUUGAAGUAUAUGAAAUCCUUUGUUUGAAACACAGUUAUAAAUAACAUGUUAUUGAUUAUAUAACCAACAUGUUUCCUACUUGUAUUCCCCCAUAAAAUCAUUUAAAACCAUUUGAAACAUAAGUUAAGGGGUAUAAACUCACCUGUAGUGAGUAACUCGAAUGUAAGAUCGAUAAAGGAUGCUAAGUGUCAAGUGAAGGCUUGAGCACACAUGGAUCCUAUUUAGCAUAUAAUGACACAUAUAUGUAUACAGUUAGUGUUUAUACAACUAAUCAUGUGAGGGAAACACCUUAGGGACUUGGAAACACUUGAAUUGAAGUGUUACAACCACAUAUGAUCGCAUAUAUGGGGUGUAUGGCCACACAUUGGUGUUUACAACCAAAGUAGUACAUUUCUAGGAGUUUACGGCCAUAGGGUUUAUGGCCCAAUGAGUUUGCGGCCGUAAACUCAUGACAAAUUGUACCAAAAACGUGUGUUAAGGUCUUAAUUGCAUCAUGGUAGUGUUCUAUGUCACAAGCUCAGCUCUUAGAAGAGUUUAUGGCCAAAAUGGCACCAUUAUAAGGGUUUACGGCCAAGGGAGAUGCUCUUGGCCGUGAACUCCUAUUGUUCUUGGGAAAUCAUUGUUUUCAAGGUGCAAAUUAAGUGCUUUAACUAGAUAGCAAGUAUAGGGAAAGGAUACUUACGAUAUAGAAGCUUGAAAGGGUGACUAAGAUCCAAAAACUUAGUGUGUGUUCUUGGUGUUCUUGAAGAUCUAACCAAAAAGAGGUAGUUUUCAUUUAUGAAAACAUGGAUCUUCACUAGUUAUAGCAAUGAAUCAACUAACAAUGGAAGGAAUGCUUACAUUUUUGAAGAUCAAAGUGAAGAACUCGAUGAUACUUGAGAGAGAUUUCGGGUUUCUAGACUUGAAAUGGUGAGAAAUGAGGAAAAGUGAUGGAAAAUCAUGUAUAUAACAUGAGUUUAUGUUCAACAUGAGUUUACGGUCGUAAACUCAUGAUGGUGUGGCCGUAAAAUCCACAUGAUGGGGUUUAAAGCUCUAUUAGUGCACAAUGGACUCAAGCAGAUACUUCCUAACACCUGAUCCUUGAAUGUACUAUGCUUAGAACACUCAAAUAGACCCUAAAGAGUGCUAAAUGAUAGCAAAAACAAAUCUGGCUUGGAUUGAAUUGAUUGAUUGUACAAGAUAGAAAUUCCGGGUUGUCACACCAUCCCCCCGUUAGAGAGAAUUUCGUCCCGAAAUUAGAGUUUAAUCAAUUAAGUAGUUAAAAAUAACUAAGUAAAAAGAUGAGGAUAUUUCAGUUUCAUCUGAUCCUCGCGCUCCCAAGUGAAUUCAGGUCUUCGCUUGGCAUUCCAGCGAACCUUCACUAUCGGGAUACGACUUUGCUUCGUUUCAGUAAAACUUUACAAAUUUUCCCUUCUAAUCUUAAACACAUAGAUUACAAAAUUUAGAAUGUUUUCUCUUAAUAACAAGUUAACAUAAACUUUUCAUUUCUCUUCAUAUUUUUUAUUGAUUGGGUUGUAAUACUGAUUUCAGGCUGCCAGGUACUUGACAAAUUGGAAAAUAACUUUUGCACUAUUAAGGGUGCAAGGUUAGUCAGCCAAGAUAAUGAAGCCUUAUCAGUUAUCUUAUUGUCUCUGAAACAUCAGUUGUGAAGGUGAAUUUUAUAAUUUUAAAACUCCUGGCAUAUAUUUUCUUAAGUGUAAAAAUGAUGUUUAUGAUCUUAUAUUUUGUCUUUUGGAUUGUUUCAGGGAUCAAAAUGUUGUUACUUCAAACCAGUCCUUGAGAACUCUUUCAAACAUAAUUGUUGCGGCUAGUAUAUAUUCUACAAGGGUGCUUGAUGAAAUAUUUUGGGAACUUAUAGGCUUCACUGCUAGCCUUCUUCAUAUAAAAAAAUCAGAUUAUAAUGACUUGUUGAUAAAGGUUCUUUAGUUUUUAUUGUUUAUUAUCAUUUGCAAAAAAGAAGUAGGGAAUGCAAUUAUUUUGGAAGAUUUUUCAAACUUAAUUUCAUCUCAUAAACCUAAAAAAGACAUUUUCAUUAAAAAAAAAAGAUAGGUGGUGGAGAAAGGAAAAAAAAAGGUAGGCGAUGUUUUUUUUUGGUUUUGGUUAAAAUUAGGCGUGAAGACCUUUGAAGACAGUGGCCCAUGUCUACGCCAGGAAGACCUCGCACAAACGUUUUUUGAUCUACGCACUUCCAGAAAAUAAGCACUCUGCGAGGGCAUAUGUGUGCGUUGUCUGCGCAGUGCAAAAAAAAGUGGUUGCCCAGAUAUGCACAAAAAAACAAACAACCCCUUACUGAAGUGUUUAAAGUGGGAUUUCCAUAUAGUAUACUUUGUAUACCAAACGGGCCCUACCUCCGAUAUGAUCCUACCUAGUUGUUCCUUACUUGAUAGAUCUUGAAGUAGACUUUGAGUUAAUGAUGAAUCUAGACUAAUAAUUAGUCGCAAUAAAUAUUAGACUAAAACUUAGUGAUAAUAAUACUAGGUUUCGUCAACGGAAAAGACAAUUGUUAGAAGCAAAGCGCUGCCCGAAUUUUGAGUUGUCACUUUAACAAGUGAGUGCAUAGUCCCUUUCAUGAACAUGAUUUUAGUACAAGUAUUAAUUAAAGUAUUAAAUAUCUAUUAAAGAGUUAAAUAGAUGUUAAAGAGUUUAUGUGUGAGUGCAUAGUCCCUCUCAUGAACUUGAUUUUAAUACAAGUAUUAAUUAAGUAUACGAUAUAUGUUUAUGUGUGAAAUAUUUGAUAUUGCCUAAAAUACGUGUUAAGAGCAUAUCUGAUAAUAUAUGAUGAUUUAUGACAAAAUAAAGCUAAGUUCAUUAAGAUGAAUAUCAGUUAGUAUCUUUUUAUGAGUAUGGGUGAUUUAUACACGAAGGGUAGAACUUUAAAAUUUGUCACUGAUCUGAGAGCAUGGAUAAGACAGUCAUUCGUCCUUAGUCUAAGAGUAUGGUGACGGCAUAGUCAUUUGUCAUUAAUCCGAGAGCAUGGAUUAGACAUAGUUAGUCAUCCUUAGUCCAAGAGUAUGAAGAGGGCAUAAUCAUUUUCCAUUAAUCUGAGAGCAUGGAUUAGACAUAUUCAUUCGUCCCUAGUCCGAGAGUAUGGAGUGGGCAUCGUCAUUUGGCAUGGAUCUGAGAGCAUUAAUUAGACAUACCUGAUCCGAGAGUAUGGAUUAGGUAUAGUUGUCAAUUUUAGAUCUGAGAGUAUCGAUCAUAUUGUUGUAAGGAUCGACAGGGUGGGGUAAAAUUGCUUAUAUGAGGUGAAAUUAUAUAUUACGAAUUCUAAUAUAUAUAUAUAUAUAUAUGAUAUAACAUUGUGGGAUUGAAAUCCUUAUAUACUCACUAGGUUUCCCAACCUGACCCACACAGUUUGAUGUAUCACUGGUAGUUAUAUGGAAGAUACAUUACACUAAGAGAUUAAAGGAGAUGUAAUUCAUUAGUGUAAAUGAAUAUAAUGUCUGGUUAUGCUUAUGGUUUUGUAUUUACAAUGACAUCCCAAUGUUUUAAUAUAAAUAAAAUACAUUUCUUCGGAAAUGCUUUGAUAAUGUAUUUAUCAUAUUUUGGGGGACAAAUUUUGUACUAAUAUUCUUCAAAAAUGAUACUCUGAUUUUUAAAUAAGCAUAAAAAAAAUUAGACUUUUUUGGCCGUGAAAAUGGGGAUGUCACAGUAUACAUAAACAUCCAUUGUGUUAUUUUGUUGUGUAUUAUUCUCUAAGUUUAAUAUAUUAUUAUUUUUUGUUAUAUGGUUUUCAGCGUUGUAGUUAGUUUGCAUCUUCUGUAACAUCCCCAAAAUCAUGACCAAAAAUGUCAUUUUUAAUUAUUAAAUAAAACCAUGGUUAUCAAAACAUAAGUCAUAGUAUCUCAAAACAUUAUUAUCAGAGUUUCCAAAUCAAAACAUUAGAGUAAACAUCCCAUGUUAAUCAUUAAGGUAUGUGUAAUGCAGUCAUCCCGAGCUCUUCUCUUUGCAACUAGAAGUACCUGAAACCAAAACUGAAAAUCGUAAGCACGGAGCUUAGUGAGUUCCCCAUACUACCACAUAACAUACACAUAAUCACAUAUAUUGGGCCCCCUCCCCUUCAUCAAGCCCCGCCAAGCAUCGGACACUAUCCGGCAUUAGGCCCCGCCUGGCAUCGAACCCCGCUCGAUAUACAUAUAUGUUUCUCCCAGGCCCCGCCCGCUAUACACAUACAAACUAUAUUAUAUAAUCAUGUUAGCACAUAAAGAAUCAAACACAAUACUACAUGUUCCGGUCCUAAGGCCUCGCCUAUCAUGGGCCCUAUCCCUACUCUCCUAAUGAUGACAUAUGGUACCCCAUCCAUACUCAGAUAGUGAUGAGAUAUGGGACCCCGCCCACCUCCCUACCAAACACAUACAAGUAUCACAUAGACAACAAGUAUAUCUAAACAUGCAUACAUUCCUCGGGUACCACUCGGCAUUGAACCGUAGUUUGGAAAUCGACAUAUAAGCAUUCCUUAGGCCCCGCCCGACAUCGAACCGUAAUCUGGAAGCAUACAAACAUUCCUCGGGCACCAUCCGACAUCGGACCUUUGUCCAGAAUACAUACAGUCAGACAUACGGGUCGGUGCCUUCGAACCAUUCAAACAGGAGGAAAUUCACCUCAAAUGCCAGAUGAUAGUUGAAACGUCUCUGACUGAAGUCAGCUCUACUCACUCCCUGAACCAAAGCAACCCCUUAGAUACCAUUUCAUGCUCAUAACCCUUUAAGGUCAACUGUGGUCAAAUUCAAAGUCAACGCUCCGAUUUGACUCAACUCGUCGAGUUUACUCCUUAACUCGCCAAGUUCCCAUAAAUCAGAGAAUCGUGAAAUCGUGAUCCAACUCGUCGAGUUUUCCUCCAACUUGCCGAGUUCCUUCUUUUUCACCAGAAUCGGGGACAUUCCAAACCAACUCGCCGUGUUACCUUAUGGACUCGUCGAGUUCAUCAGUCUGUCAACACUUCCUAAUUCAUUAAGAAAUUAUUCUUCAAAUCCAAGUCCCAUAUUCUAGAUCUAGACUGAAAAUGCCUCUAGAAGGGUAAAGUUUCCAACUUUAGCCAUUAAUACCCCUCCUAAAGGGAUUAAGCUCAACCCUGAGCCCCCAAAAGGCUUAAAUCUAAAUCCAAAGGCCAUCACCUUCAAGAUAGGACAUAUGAACAUAGAUAUGGACCUUAAAGACUAGAUAAUAACUUAAAGUCUCCAGCUUUCUCUACAUGCAUGGCCAUUAUAAGCUUAAAAGGCCAAAAUGGUAGUCUAAAGGUUGCAUGGGACUUUCAUGGCCAUAAAGUUGGCACCUUUAUGCCAUGAAAGUCCUUCAAGACUCUAUAUAUGAAGUGUUUUCCAUUCGGGACAUCCAACUCUCAAGAACCAUACCAUUUGGACCAAAAACAAGCAAAAAGUACUAAUAAGGAGAUCUAAUCAACUAUUAGGCAAGUUUGAAACUUGAUUACUAGAAAGUGACAAAAAUGUAGUAAGGUUUCUGGAUCUAGCAACUCUUCCUUGUUCCUUCAAACUUUCCUUCCUUCCAAGAGCUUCAAACACCCAUAAGAACACUCAAAAUGGCUCACAAUCACUCAAAAAUAGCUUAGGGUUUCGAGAUUUAUGGUUAAGACAGUGGAGCAUGGAAAUGAGGCCAAAACCCUAUAGCUUAAGUUGUUUAAAUAGGGUGCAAAUCCCAAAACUUAGGGUUUCCCAAACCACGUCCAACUCGUUUAGUUGUGCCUCUCUAACUCAUCGAGUUGAUUCUCAAAAACACGCGCCCAAGAUUUCCAACACGUCGAGUUCUCCCCCUUGGACUCGACGAGUUGGCCUUAUAGAUGUUGAUUUCUUUUUCCUUAUUUGGCCUUCUAGAUUUCGGAUGUUACAUCUUCCCUCAUUUACAUGAUCGUCUUAUAAUGUAUGGAUGUCUUAUAUGUAUCUACUAUUAAUAAGUGGUUAUAACAUAACAAAAACACAAAGUAAUAAUGAUGAUUUUAUAAUUAAAAUUUAUUGACAAAUUUAAUUUGAAUUCUUUUACAUUGGAAUUGAACAACUCAUAAUGUUGUCAAAAUUUUCUAAUCAUAUACAUUUGUAUAAAAUAUCUAUCAAAAUUUAAUUAUAUUAGUUACAUAUCCAAUGAUCGAACCAAAUAAAAAAUAUUUUAUAGGAUUUUGCAAAUUAAGAGAAUAUAUCUUCAACUAAUUGUAACAAAUAAAUUUGAAUAAUCAUAUUUUUCUUUUGUCUCCAACUAUAUAAACAUAAAUAUAUUCUUGAAAUCUAAAGAAAAUAGAAUGAAAGGUAUAUGAAUAUAAAUUGAAACCCACAAAUCAAGUAAAUAUAUUUUAGACUUUCAAAAGCUUGAUUAUCAUAUCCACAUUUAGUUUUUCAAAAUAUAUUUUAUCAUUCAAAAAAUUUCUUUCAUUUAAUCAGUUAAUUAGCAUAAGAUGAAAAUGUGAGAAUUUCAAAUAAAUAUAGUUCUCUCUCUCUCUCUCUCUCUCUCUCUCUCUAUAUAUAUAUAUAUAUANNNNNNNNNNNNNNNNNNNNNNNNNNNNNNNNNNNNNNNNNNNNNNNNNNNNNNNNUAUAUAUAUAUAUAUACAGAGAGAGAGAGAGCUAGGUUCCGUUGAGAUUAAAAAUAAAAUAGAGAUUUUGAGAUUCAACCUCAGCAAUAUAUUUAAAAUCUGAUGCUCUAACCCUCCGGCGUACCAGCACGACAGACCUGUUAUAAUCAUAAAUGAUUAUAUAGCGUCGUCCAUUCCUUUCUCCUCCGCCACCAUACCCUCCAUCACAACCGCCACCGCCACCACCACUACGACCACCCCUGACACCAGUUAACCUCACCACUCUCACCUCCAUCACUUAUACCACCAUAACCUCUGUCACCACCACCUUUUCUGCCACCAACUGUUAUAAUCAUUUAUGAUUACUCGAUGUGUGAAAAGACAUAUAUGUAUAAUAUGCAUAAUCAUAUAUGGUUAUACCUCUCUGCCAUAUAAUCAUUUAUGAUUAGGCAUACCAUUUUGUUUCCGGUACGUUGGAGCGUUAGAGCUGUAAAUGAGAAAUAUGUGGCUGAGGUUGAAUCUUAAGAUCUCUAUUUUUUUUAAUCUCAAGUGAACANAUAUAUAUAUAUUUCUUAAGUUAUUCUAUUUAAACUAAGUAUUGUGUUAUUAUAUGCAUAAUUGUAGGCCAAUCAUUUUACUUAUUUUUCGAAAGUGAAUAAUACAUAUUAUUAAAUUAAAUAUAAUACCAUCUAAUUUCAUUCUAAGGGUAUUUUUGUUAAUUAACAUAAAUUUAAAAAAGGAAAAUUGCAUAUUUUAAGGGAAAAUAGAUUCUAUUAAAUUUAAAAAUCUGAUUAUAUGGAUGAUAAUUCUCCUAAUUCGAAAAUUCUGACGGAAUGUGUUUAUCAAUAUAUUGAAAAAUAACAAAUAUGAUUGAGCCAUACAAGAAUACACAUUCUGACAUAAUAUAUAUUUUGAUUUAAUGUACUUCUUGAAGAAUAAAAAAAAAUUUGGUUACAAGUUAAAAAAAAAAUUCAUUACAUUCUUAGAAAAGACAAAAAAAAAUUAUAGAGUAUUCUAUGAGAAUGUUACACUUAUUAAUAACAAAAAAACAAUAUAUAAAUCAUUCUACCAUAAUACACUAUUAUGUAUAUUUUUUCUUCAUUAUAUUGUAUAUUAUUUUGGUAGAAUAAUCCAUUCUUUUUGUAAGAUUGGUGGUCAUUGUUCAUCUUCAUCCCAUACAAUUUUCAUCUUCAAGAUUCUAUUCCGACCGAAUCAGAAUUCAAGAUUCCAUUCCAGUAGAAUGUUGUAAGUUACAUAUGUACCAUGUUUCGCUUUGAUAUCUCUCGUUUCGUUCCUAGCCAAGAAAACAAGAACAUUCUUGUUAUUGAUUUCAUGUAUACCUGCAAAUGAGAAAUACAACCACUCAUUAUUAUUGUUUAAUCUUCUUUCCAUGACAAUUUCAAGCAAUAAACACCACAUCGAAUUUUGUCAAGCAAAAGAAACAAUUUCCUAUAAAACAUUAACCCCAUAAAUCUGUUCCAUUCAUCCAUUUCUAUCAAGAACAAUCAAACCCAAAACCCAUCAACACUCCACUGUAUUUUUGUCAAAACAAUGGAUCAGAACAUUCUCCACUUGUUAUAUAAUAAAACUAAGUAGUAAAAGAUCAAAACAUUCUUACAUUUCUAUGGUUAUUCUACAAGAAGUUGUUAAAGUUAAUAAAAAUAUUCUUGCACAUAUGCUUGUUGAAAGCAAAUCUCGAAGUCCUAUGAUGAACAAAUGAUGAACGCAUGAACUGCAUUGUAUCUCAAUUUGGAUUGUCAAUCAAUAAAAAGUCAAAAUCAGAAUAAUGAUUACAAUCGGAACAAAUGGUAUUGAAUUCACAGUUGGUAGAGUGAUAAUCGGAGCCAAUGAAAUUGGGUUUUGAAUUUAACUGGAUUGAUCUAAGGAUAUUCGCCAUUGAAUGGUCAAACAGAAAAUUCAAAAUUGAGAUAUUCCAAACUUCUUACCUGCAAACGAUCUAAGAUUCGAAGUUGAAAAUCUGGGCUUGCACUCAUAUCCUCAAUGAUGCCUCUUCACAGCGCAAUUGCAUCUGCAAGUAGGUCAGCGUUAAUGUCUGGUAUGUGAACAAUCGCAUCUCAAACCACCAUAAUUUCAAGAACCCUAGCCCCAAAGCAUGUACCUAUUUCUCCAUUUUCGUCAUCUACAAGAACACUCCCUCGUGAAGCUUCAAGGUAGAUGCUUUACCGAUUACACAUACAAAAAAACACACCAAAACACGUACUACAACCAACCCUAUUUCUAAAUUCUACGAAAUCGAUUUAACCUUUGUGGUGUUAUUCUUCAGGAUUGUUGUGGCAUUGGGAAUGGUUGAAUCCAUGAUGCCUCUACACAGCGCAAUUGCAUUUGCUCGUCUCAAAUCGAGCCUUGCAGUUGAUUCCGCAUGCUGGCCGACAUUGGUGGAUGAAGGCGACGAGUGGUGGAGGACUGUCAGUGAUGACGGUAAUUAUGGUUGUGUUGUGCCCUUCAACAUCGGCAGUAAUGGUUGGGAUCGAAUAGGUGAUGUUUUUAAAAAGCCGAUGGAGAAAACCUAGGCAGCUAAAGUCAAUAGUUACCAUAAUUAUAGGAUAUUAUUUGUGGAAAUUGAUUAUUAAAUUACGUAUUUAUCCUUAUUUAUUUAUUAAUUAUUUAUUUAUAUUUUAAAUUUUUAUUGGUCCAUAUUUAUGCAUACAAUAACACAAUAGAUACAUUAAACACCUAAACCUAGCUCUCUCUCUCUCUCUCUCUCUCUCUAUAUAUAUAUAUAUAUANAUAUAUAUAUAGAGAGAGAGAGAGAGAGAUAGAGAGAGAGAGAGAUAGGUUCAGGUGUUGUAAGUAUUGUGUUAUUGUAUACAUAAAUGUGGGUCAAUCAAAAUUAAGUAAAAAUUUAAAUAAUUAAAUAAAUAAACAAGGGUAUUUUAGUAUUUUGAUAAAUAGAUUCCACAAUAGUCCCUAUAAUCAUGCUAGCAUUAACUUUAAACCUGUUUUUUCUUAUAUACAGUCGUCAUCAGUCAAACAACCUUCUCUCCAUCGUUUUCUAGUCGUCGGCUUCUGAUUGCAUCAGUGUAUCGUCCAACGUCGCCUCAUCCCUUCAUCGGUGCUUCUGGUUCACGUUGGCGUCAGCGCUCAUCGUUCACGUCGGCGUCGGCGCUCCUGUUCACCCUCGUGUUGCACCCAUUACUUUUCUCCUUGACUCCGACUACUUCUCCUCCGAUUAAAUCCACAUGUCGUCGCAACUUUCUUGUCCGACGCGACAUCCUUCCCUGGCGCAACCUCCUUCCUCGUCGUUGGUCAGCCGCCCUUCAUCACGUAUGUAUUUUUUUCCACUUAUAGUUGCUUCACCCUUUUUUAUUUGUUUUUUCUUGUUGAAUCUCGAUUAUAUCUUGCAAACUUGUUAUGAAAUUGAUUGUUCCUGAAAUCAGUUUUUUAGAAACUGGUUUAUGUUCCAGGUAAUUUUUUUGAAAUUGAUAUAUUCUCUUGGUAAUUUUUUUUCUGAUUUAUCAUUCAAAUGUUGUUAAAAAUCGAUUUCAUUUUGCCGAAAUUGAUUGUUGUUUCCAUAUGUUGUUGGUAAGAUUUAGAGACAUUGGUACUGGUAAGCUUCAAUAAGAUUUGUUCUCCCUAAGAUGAAAAAACUAUCAACUGGGGUUAAAUUUGGCUCUCUUGAUGUAUUGUUUGUUAGCUGUGGUAUGACAUUUGUUUCAAUUUUGAAUUUUGAUAUGAUUUUGUAGCUGAUACCACGAAACUUCAUAUGCAUAUACCCUUUACAAUUUUGUUUCACGAGAGAGGUGUGGAGCAAGCUUGGUCAUAUGCAACAGGUGUGUUUCUAUUUAAGUUCUUGAUUUGUUCAAGACAAGUGAAUUACAAGAUUUUGAAUGGUGGUAUAGUUAUUAAUUUGAUGUGUAGGUGUGUGAGCACCAGGUGUUUGACGAUUUGUCUGAGAGAAAUAAUUUAUGUGUCGUAAAGUGUCAGAUUCUUUUCUUAGAUUAUUGCUUUCAGGAUACAAUAUCCUUGUACGUUUUUUUUGGUAAUUCUUAGAUCUUUUAGUUUCAAAUCUUAUUACUUGUUGUUGUUUAAUUUCAGAGGAAUCGAGUAAAGAGCAAGUUGGAAGAACUUAAUCAUAUUUGCACUGCUACAGUUGGUGACGAAUUCCGAUUCUAUGGGAAUUAAAUCUCGAUAUUUCCUUUGUGAUUUGUGUAUUUUUAUGAUUGUAGUUCUAUCGGGAUCGAAUCACGAAUUCCAAUUCUACUAGAAUGGAAUCUUGAAUUCUGAUUCUGUCAUAAUAGAAUCUUAAAGAUGAACAAUGUAUGAGAUAAAGAUGAACAAUGACCACCAAUCUUCCAAAAAGAAUCGAUUAUUCUACCAUAAUAAUAUACAAUGUAUUAAAAAAAAUAUAUGUAAUAGUAUAUUCUGGUAGAAUGAUUUAUAUAUUGUGUUUUUUUGUUAUUAAUAAGUGUAAUAGUAUAUUCUGGUAGAAUGAUUUACCACAUUCUAUAAGAAAUUAUAUAUUUUUUGUUUUUAUUCUUCAACUGAUUGUUCAAGAAUUUGUUAUUCUACAAGAAGUUGAUAAAGUCAUGAUCAGGAAAUAGGUUCAAGAAUAUUUUUAUUAUUUAUGGUAUAAGAAUAUUUUUAUUUUGGAAUAUACUCAUAAACAUAUUCUGUCAGAAUGUCCGAAUUAAAAGAAUUAUAAUUCAUAAAAUCGGAUUUUUAAAAUUAAUAGAAUAUAUGAUCCCUUAAAAUUAGUGAUUUUCCCUUAUUAAAUCUAUAUUGAUUGACUAAAAUACCCUUGUAAUUAAAUUAGAUGAUAUUUUUAAAUUAUAUUUAAUUCAAAAAUAUAUCUUAAUCAUUUUCUUAAAAUAAGUGAAAUUAAUUGGCCAACAUUUAUGCAUACAAUAACACAAUAAUUACUUUUAAUANNNNNNNNNNNNNNNNNNNNNNNNNNNNNNNNNNNNNNNNNNNNNNNNNNNNNNNNNNNNNNNNNNNNNNUAUAUAUAUAUAUAUAUAUAGAGAGAGAGAGAGAGAGAGGGAGAGGGAGAGAGAGAGAGAGAGCUAGGUUCAGGUAUUUAAACUAAUUAUUGUGUUAUUGUAUUUAUAAAUAUAGGUCAAUCAAAAUUAAAUAAAUGAUUAAAUAAUUAAAUAAAUAAAUACGGGUAAUUUAGUCAUUUGUUUAAUAACUUCCAAAAAUAAUCCCUAUAAUCAUGGAAAUUUAGUUACCAUCCCUACAAAACCUUCGUUCACCCAUAUACCUUUAUUUCACUGUAUCCAUCAUCGCAUCAAUACCAUCGGGGUUCCUUUUUCUCAAUUUCAUUCGAUCAUUGAUUAGUAGUAGUAGUAAUAUUAAUGGAGGUCACUGGCGUUGUACACCGUCAGUCUCCGAGCUUCUCUUUGAGCGGUGGUGAUGCCUUUAACUCCUUGCACGUGCACUCUUUUCCGAAGAUGAAACCAGCCAGAUCUUUCUGUCUUAAACAAUCAUUCAAUGUGAAGUCCCUUUUUGCAUCCGUGGGUUUUGAUGAGCUUUCCGACAAGAGCCACCAAACACAUGCUCGAUUCUGAGACCCAUCUCAUAGCGAAUCAAGAUCUAACCUUUGAUUUCGGAUUUGAGGUAUUUUUGAAGAAAUAGGACACGAAGAGGGUAAUUCUGAAGAGGGUAUGUCUAAAGAAAUAAUUAAGGUUAGAAUUCAGAAUCGGGGUUCCUUUUUCUCAAUUUCAUUCGAUUAUUGAUUAAUGUAUGUAUCGAUUUGCUGAUUUGAUUUCAUGUUGCAGGUGAGGGAUGUUAUGAAGAACUUGAAAUAAUUAAGGUUAGAAUUCAGAAUCAGGGUUCCUUUUUCUCAAUUUCAUUCAAUCAUUGAUUAAUGUAUGUAUCGAUUUGUUGAUUUGAUUUCAUGUGGCAGGUGAUCUUAGGCGUACACUCAAAGCUAGCAAAGAGGGGAUCUUUAAACUUACUGUUGGUGAAAUGUACAACAGGUAACAUUGAUCUUUAAUAACUUUGAAUUUGUGAAAAAGAGGAUGAAAUAGAAGUUUUAGAACUUGAAAAUUCGAUCUUUUUUUGAUAAAGAUUAGAAAUGUGCUGUGAUUAUAAGAACCCAAGAACCAUAAGCGUAGAAAGAAUGGUUGUUGAAGCAAUGAAGAAGAUGGAGGCUCCUCCAUCCCCUGUUCAGUUCUUGCAUGUAAUCGAUGAAGACAACAAGUUGACAGGUAUCGUCAUACUACAUGGAUUGGUGUCAGUUGGGCUUUGAAGGUUAUAUAUAUGCAUUACUUCUUCAUUUGUAUCAUGUAGCUAUCGAGGAAUGCCUAUAAUCGUAUAUUACUAUUCUUUUGAUUUAUUGAUUUUUUACUACUCUAUAGAGAUGUAUGUGUUUCUAAGUAGAUCAAUCAUGUUGAGGGUUACACAAAAUUUCCUAUCAUGGUUUUAGUUGAUUUGAAGGUUUUGGGUUUGAUUAGUUGAACACAAAUCAUGGUUGUUUUGGUUUAUUUGACAGAUGAAUGCUUCAAUUGAAUUGAAAGUUGUUUUCAUGCACACCAAGUGCUUGCUAAAAUGCUUCAACUGAAUGGUAUUUCUUCGUUUAUAGCAUUCUAUCAGAAAAUAAUGUUUUUUUAUGAUAAUCAUGAACAUAUUCUGUUAGAAUUCCUUGAAUUAAUAUAAUUAUUAGUAAAUGAAUUCCAAUUCUAUCAGAAUGGAAUCACAAAUUCCAAUUAUGUUGGAAUGGAGUAUGAAUAUUUUCUCACUAACUUAUUCAUUGUAUUUUUGUUUCUACAGAAGCUGAUGCUUGAAGAACGGACCACGAAAUUUGAACGACGCCUCUUAGCAACAUUAUUCUUUUAGAAUGUAUUAUUGUUUUUGUUAGAUUUUGAUGUUUUUUUUUCCAGAUUUGAUUUCUUUUUUAGUUUUAUUCUUUAAAAAUAAAUAUAAUUCUUAGCAAUUGUUACAUGUAUUCUAUAGGAAUUAAUGUAAUUUUUGUUUUAAUUCUUCAAUUGAUGGUUCGAGAAUUUUGUUAUUCUACAAGAAAUUUUUUUAUUUUUUAACAUACUCAAACAUAUUCUGUCAGAAUGUCCGAACUAAAAACCUUAUAAUUUGUAAAAUCAGAUUUUUAAAAUUAAUAGAAUCUUUGAUCCCUUAAAAUAUAUAAAUUUCCUUUAUUAAAUAUAUGUUAACUGACUAAAAUGCCCUUCUAGUUAAAUUAGAUAGUAUUUUUCAAUUAUAUUUAAUUAAAUAAUAUGUAUUAAUCACUUUCUUAAAAUAUGUAAAAUGAUUGGCCCACAUUUAUGCAUACAAUAACACAAUAAUUAUUUUGAAUAGAAUAACCUAAGCCUAUAUAUAUAUAUAUAUAUAUAUAUAUAUAUAUAUAUAUAUAUACACACACACACACACACAUUGANNNNNNNNNNNNNNNNNNNNNNNNNNNNNNNNNNNNNNNNNNNNNNNNNNNNNNNNNNNNNNNNNNNNNNNNNNNNNNNNNNNNNNNNNNNNNNNNNNNUUUAUCGUACUUCGUCGUUUUGUCUCAUAUAAUAAAUUCUAAUUGUCCAAUGUUCUUAUAAUUUAACGUCUAACUUGAUUUACUUCUAGAAUUUUUAUAAACUACAAAGUUAUCUUACUCUUACAUAAUUUUCAUUUUCAACUACAAUAUAUAUAGCAUAUUAGGUGUUCGGAAAAAAAAAUGUGAUGUAAGAGAAAGGUAAUAGUGCAAUUUUGAAAAUUUUGAAAGUAAAUCAAGUUAGUAGUUGAAGUUUAAGAACAUUAUGAUGAAUAUAUCAAACANACUCCUAUCUUUUAACUAUUUCUUUACAAACAAAAUGGCUUGUAAGAUUAAUGAAUACUCGGAACCAUUUUUGUUUCAUAUUGACUAAUCAUUUAUAAAUAUAUAAUUACAAAUAGAUUGGAAUAGAUGAAAUCGAUGGAUUUCCAUAUACGACAUUGUGAUCGACAAAUAGAUUGGAAGCAAAGGGGUCGAAGAGAUAGUAUCCUCUCUCACUAAAUUUCCUAAAUGAUAUGGCAAUGACCAAUUGACCAUGCCGACAUGAUAGCAAUUUUCUAUUUUUGUCAUUUUAGUGACUAGUCCUUUCGCCCCUUAGACAAGUACAAAAGAGACCCUUUUCUUAUGUCGAUCAUCAAAAUAAAUGGAAAUCUAAUCGUUAACUCACUAAGAAUCGCCGCGUAAUCAUCACCUCAUACAUCUUCUAUAAACACCCAACCGAUUGCCCUCUCUAAUCUUGCCUCUAUCCACUCUCAACUCUCAACCACACACACACACCUUCCAUUUCCCAUGGCGUCCUUUCACAAACCUCUCUACCUUUUCUUCGCUUUUUUCUUCGCUUUAGUCUCUUUUUCCAGUGCUUACACCUUCAACGUCGGCGGCAGAGAUGGCUGGACUUUACACCCUUCUGAAAGCUACAAUCAGUUUUCCGGCAGACUAAGAUUUGUCGUUAACGACAACCUCCGUAUGUAUUCAGUUCCUUUUUCUCUUAAGUUCUUGAUUUGGGUUUUCGUUUUUUCAAUGUGGGUUUUUAAAAAAAAUUGAUUCUUGAUUUGCAGAUUUCAAGUACGAUGCUGCAUCGGAUUCUGUAUUGGAGGUCAGCAAAGGUGAUUAUGAUAAUUGCAACACGAACAACCCCAUCACCACCCUCACCGGCGGCGACUCUUUCUUUACCUUGAAUCGUCCAGGACCUUUUUACUUCAUCAGUGGUAAUAGAUCUCACUGUAACGAAGGUCAGAAGCUAGAGGUGGUUGUUAUAUCGCCUAAAACGAAGCCGUCACAUUCCGCCGCUCCACCUCCGGGAGUUUCACUUGCUCCAAUGGUCUCCCCAGGCUCCCCUGUUUCAUCACCACCAGAAUCUGGAACAUCUGGACCGACUGCUCCGAUGGGUUCCCCUAUGUCUUAUUCUUCACCACCAGAACCUGGAACUUCUCCGAUGGCCUCCCCUUUUUCGUCACCACCAGAAUAUGGAGCUACUCCGAUGGUUGCCCCCACUGGAGGUAUCUCAGCUUCUCCAACAGGUAAUCCGUCUGACGUGAACGGACAAUCACCGAAUGGAUCAC